ACCACCACCACCCCCACUACUCCCAGAAAAUGGAAAGCUUUUCUCCCACCUGGGCUGUAUAUGCACUCGCCUGGGUUGCAACGGUGGUUAUCGCCCAUCUCUCGAAGCAUUUCCAUCAGCAAAAACUCAACCUCCCACCGGGUCCAAGGCAAUGGCCUAUAAUUGGAAACUUAAACCUCAUUGGCACCCUUCCUCAUCGUUCACUCCAUCAACUCUCCCUAACAUAUGGUCCCCUAAUGCACCUUCAAUUCGGCACCUUCCCAGUUGUCGUUGGCUCCUCCGUGGAGAUGGCCAAAGUUUUCCUCAAAACCAUGGACGUCACAUUUGCAGGGAGGCCUAAAACUGCAUCCGGAAAAUAUAACUCUUAUGAUUGCACCGACAUGACUUGGUCCGCUUACGGACCAUAUUGGCGCCAGGCACGUAAGAUUUUCCUUACGGAAUUAUUCAGUGCAAAAAGACUCGAAUCAUAUGAACAUAUUCGGGUGGAAGAAAUGAAUUCGCUUCUGCUACAGCUAUUCAAGUCAUCAGGCAAGCCUGUCGUGUUGAAAGAUUAUCUUUCAACAGGAAGUUUGAACGUGAUUAGCAGGAUGGUCCUGGGGAAAACAUACAUUGAUGAGUCUGAGAACUCAAUUGUCACGCCCGACGAGUUCAGGCAAAUGAUGGACGAGCUUUUUUUGCUGACUGGUGUGUUUAACAUUGGUGACUUCAUACCUUGGAUCGAUUUCUUGGAUUUGCAGGGGUAUAUCAAGAGGAUGAAAAUCUUGAGCAAGAAAUUUGAUAGGUUUCUGGAGCAUGUUCUCGAUGAGCAUAAUGCCCAAAGGAAGGACGACACUAAUUGCGUCAGCAAGGACUUGGUGGACGUCCUUCUGGGCCUUGCAGAUGAUCCCACUUUGGAGGUGAAGUUAGAGAGGCGUGGAGUCAAGGCAUUGACUCUGGUAUAUGUUACUUACAAACUGCACAACGCAUGCUGUCAACUUUUAAACGACUGAAAACUUGAGAGAAAAUAGUCAGUGAUCUUUUGAACUUGAAUACUCCUCAAAAUUUUCUUUGCUACUGAAAACUUGAGAGAAAGUAGUCAGGAUCUUUGUAGUUUGAUGAAAAUUUUUCAGUGGAGGCAGAAUUAACAAGAAAAUUCUUUUUAAUCCUUCUAAAAGAAAUUGCUUUUGAUAAAGGUACUCAAGUAAGUAAGAAAAUUGUUGGCCAAGUACAGUCAAUUUGCAACUUAAAAACGUUUCUUGCUGCACUUUGCGUAAUGAUUGAACUCUAGGACCUACUUGCUGGUGGAACCGAGACCUCAGCGACUACAGUAGAAUGGGCCAUUUCGGAGCUACUGAAAAACCCAGAAAUAUUCAACAAGGCAGCCGAAGAACUCGACCGUGUUAUCGGUCAGAAUCGAUGGGUGAACGAGAAGGACAUGCCAAAUCUUCCUUACAUAGAGGCUGUUGUUAAAGAAACAAUGCGUAUGCAUCCCGUGGUCCCAUUGCUAGUGCCAAGAUGUGCUCGCGAAGAUUGCAAAGUUGCAGGGUACGAUAUUCAAAAGGGAACUCGAGUCAUCGUCAACGUUUGGUCAAUUGUGAGGGACCCUGAAUUGUGGGAGAAGCCAGAGGUAUUUUGCCCCGACAGAUUCAUGGGAAAGGACAUUGACUUCAAAGGGCAAGACUGUAAGUUCUUGCCAUUUGGUGCUGGAAGAAGAAUGUGCCCAGGGUAUAGUUUAGGCCUCAAGGUUAUCCAAUCUAGUUUGGCCAAUCUUUUACAUGGAUACAGAUGGAAGUUGCCAAAUGACAUGAAACCUGAGGACCUGGACAUGGAAGAAAGAUUCGGCAUUACUACACCAAGAAAAAUCCCACUUGUUGCCAUUGUUGAGCCUCGGCUUCCUCGUAAUCUUUAUUGACUAUGAUUCACUACGUGUAUGUUUGAUCUCCCAGUAUCAUCAUUAUCAACUUGUGUUCAAAUAAAUCAGCUCUGCAAGUUUAGAAUUUGUAGCUGCGCUUAUAUGUGUUUGCCAAUUGCUACAACGCUACAAACCCUUGUAGUUGGUGCAUGGCAUAUGCGUAAUCACUGAGAUUGUUAUGCGUAUUGAAUUCCAAAUUUGUUCACAAUUAUGUGAAACUGUGAAUAUGCACACCCCUGAUGUUUCAAAUACAUUCUAUAAAAUUCUGAUGCUAAUUUAAAUCUGCAAUAGCAGGCACACAGUCAAAGCAAUGUGCUCUCUGCCAUCUUUCCUCUUAGCAUCUUCCAUCAAUUCCUGUGCACCUCUAAGCCAUGCCACUGGAUUGGUGCUACUUUCCGUACUUGUUGGGGGGAAGAGAGAAAGAGAAAAAAAAAAGAGCGGAGGGUGAGGUGGCUGCGGCAGUGAUGGCAUGGGAAGGGAGGGAAGAGGAAGAGCAGUAGUGGUGUGGUGCGGAGAGACAGAAGAAGAAGAGAGGAGAGAAAAGAAAAAAGAAAAAAAAGGGAAAAAAAGCAAGAUUUGGAAUUUUUUCAAACCGUCAAAUGCACAAAAGUUUUCUUAAAGUUUUAUAGUAAAGUGUUAUUCUUGGUUUUGAUGAUCACAAAAGUUUGUUUAUACAGACCAAGAAAGUGAACACUUUGAUCAGGUCUGUUGGAACAAAGAAAGCGUAUGUUCGUUUAUCUCCUGACUACGUUGCUUUGGAUUUGGAUGUGGCAAACAAGAUUGGAAUAAUAUGAAUGAAUUUAGUCAUUGUUUUGUUUUCGAUCAAAGAUAUUGUCUUUUAAGUAUGUCUAGUUUGUCAUUCUUGGUACUUUGAAAUAUUUGUCUAACCUUCCUCAAAUACAAGUGUUUUUUUGUCUAUCCAAGAAUCAGGUUCAAAUAUGUCAUGAAAUGUAAAACAACCAAAAUGAGAAGCAAAAACAGGACAAUCAGGUCGGACGGCCGAAAGGAAACUGUCGGACGUCCGAAAAGAUAAAGAACAUCAGGAAGGAAGCACCGUCGGACGCUCACAUGGAAGCAUCGGACGUCCGGAAGGAUCGGACGCUUGCCAUCGGACGUUAAUCAACCGCAUCGGACGUCCGAAAAAUUCCAAGAUAACUUGCUAGCUCUCGGCCCAAGGUCGGACGCUGUGCUGUCGGACGACAAAGAACUUAUCGGACGUCCGAACCUCAACUUGGCUAUCAUCGGACGAUUGGUUCGGACGAUGAUUCGAUCGUCGGACGUCCGACAGCCCCAACGGCUAGUUGACUCUUCAGCUGCCUUCUAUCCGUUGGAAGCAUUGAUGAAGCCCAUUUCUGGAUCCCUUUAAAAUCAAACUGGUCUGAACGAAGUAGGGACUUUUGCUCACUUUGUUUACAAGUUCUCAAGAGAUAUUUUAGCUAGAAAAUAGUCUCCAAAGCAGAUUUGUAUUAAAGUGGUGUGAAUUUCUGUUGAGCAUUUCUUUUGUGGUUGAAAGGAUCUUUAGUGUAGCUUUGUUGAGGGUUUUCUGAGUGAUUGUAAAACUUCCUAGCUUGACUAAGUGAGGCUUAGGGCAAGGAGGAAGAGCUCCCUCCAUUGUACAUCUAGUUGAUCUUCGUUCAUCAAAGAGAAGUUGCUCUUCCUAGUGUUUGGUCUUCAAGUUUGGGUAAAGCUUGGUAGACACUUGGUUUGUUUCUCUAUUUUAUAUUUCUGUUUAAUAAAAUCUUCAUUGCUUAUCUAUACUUGCUUCUCUGAUUAAUAUUGCUAUUGUCUUCUAAUCUACUUGGUUGAUCAUUACUAAAAAGGAAGGUAAAUUUUCAUUAAAGAAAAAGUGCAUAAACUUGGUUAAGUUUUUAAUCAACCAAUUCACCCCCCCCUCUUGGUUGUCUGUGGGACUUACAAUUGGUAUCAGAGCUUGGUCUCUUUUGAUCAAGCUUAACCGCUUAGAGUAAAGAUCAUGGCAACCAUAAAAGUUUCUUUUUUAGAAGGGCAAUCUAUUGAUAGACCACCUAUGUUUAAUGGUUCUCAUUUUAGCAUGUGGAAACAAAGAAUGAUGAUUUUCUUACAAUCUGUUUACAUUGAAUUAUGGUAUGUGGUAGAAGAUGGUCCUUAUGAAGCUAGAAUAGUUGACUCUAUCACCAAUUUGAGUAGAUUAAAGACUAGACAAGAAUUGAAUGAAAAAGACAAGAGAUACCUUUCUUUGAAUGCCAAGGCCAUGUGUAUAUUGUACAAUGCAUUAGAUGUAAAUGAAUCUACUAGGAUUAAAGGUUGUAAAUCAGCUAAAGAUAUUUGGGAUAAAUUGUGUGUAUUUCAUGAAGGUAAUCAAGAUAUUAAAGAACAAAAGAAAUCUUUACUUGUUUCUCAAUAUGAAUUUUUCAAAAUGCAUUCUCUUGAAAAUGUUGAUAAGAUGUGUAGUAGAUUUUGUGACAUUAUUGAAGAACUUAAAUUGCUUGGAAAAGAAUAUUCUUUGGAUGAGAAAAAUAGAAAGAUUUUGAAUGCCUUGCCAAAAGAAUGGGAAAACAAAAUAAAUGCUAUAGAAGAGGCAAAGGAUUUAAAUUCUAUGUCCAUUGAAUCUCUUGUGGAUACCCUAACCUCUUAUGAAUUAAAGCUGGAAUUCAAAGUGCAAGAGGAAGAAAAUGCAAGAAUGUAUAAGAGAGGCAUAGCUUUUAAAGCAUCUCAAGUGGGGGAUAACCCAUCCUUCAUGGGUAAUGAAAUCAUGGAAGUGGACAAUGAUAUAACUCCUCACAUCAAAAGUUUCAAGAAGAUCUUCAACAAGAGAUGUUCAAGAGGAGAUUGCAAAAUUACAUGGGAUGAAUGCAAUUCAAAAAGAGAAAAAGAAGAGUUGUCCCAAAUGGCACUAAUGGCCGUUGGAGAAGAUGAGGUAAGUUCUUAUCACUCUUCUUGUGAUGAAGAUAAUGAAGAUGAUGAUGUGAAAACUCUUAUGAUUAAAAUGCAUAAAAGUUUGAAAAAAUCUUAUGCUAAAAAUAAAGAUUUGAAAACAAAAAUAAAUGAUUUGUUGGAAGAAAACUCCAAACUUUUUCAAGAAAACAAAUGUUUGAGAAUGGAAAAUGAUGAUUUAAAAAAUCAAAAAGGUGUUUUUGAUUGCAAAAAUAAUUUGAAAAGAAAGUUGGAAGAGAAAACAAAGUUUUAUGAAAAAAUGUUGGAGGAACAAAAUUUGUUAAAGAAAAGAAUUAAUGACUUGAACGAGGUUCUCCAAAAUGAAAAACAAAAGUUUUCUCAAACAAAAGAAAGCAAAUCUUUUCAAGGCACAAAUAAGUUUGCUAAGAAAAUUAGUUGCAUUAAAUCCACUUAUAUGCAAAAUACUUCUAUCAUGUGUCACUUUUGUUGCCAAUUUGGACACAUGUAAAAUGAUUGCUAUGUAAAGAAAAAUAUGAGAAAAGAUAUGAAAUCCAUGUGGAUUGCUAGAUCAUGUUGUAAUAACUCCCAAGGACCCUAUUAUGGUCUUGACUUGAAAAAUAAAGGGGGAGUUUGUUUUUUGAUUGAUGCCAAAAGGGGGAGUAGGAUUUAUUGAAAUUUCUUUGCAUGUUGGCACUUUCUAAGGGGGAGCUUUAUUUGAACUUAUUUGAUAAAAGAAAUCUUCAUUUUGUUUGUCAUCAUCAAAAAGGGGGAAUAUCCACCAGAUCAUACCAAAAGAAACUUAAAAUAUCCAUUACAAUACAUAUUCAUUGUUGAAUACCACAAACACGUAAAGAUGACAACCAGUCAUGCUAUGUUUGUUGAGGGGCAAUCUGUUACUAGGCCUCCCAUGUUCAGUGGCUCUAACUAUGUUAGCUGGAAAGAACGAAUGAUUAUCUUUUUGCAAUCUAUCGAUAUUGAACUAUGGUUUAUUGUGAGUGAAGGACCGCAUGAAGCUAACUUUCUUGAUGCAGAUACAGGGUUGCUUCGGCCAAAAACAAGAGUUGAAAUGAAUGCUCAAGAUAGGACUAACCACAUUGAAUGCCAAGGCCAUGAAUGUUAUUUAUAGUGCCCUAGAUUCAAAUGAAUCAAUCAGAGUAAAAGGCUGCAAAUCGGCUAAAGAAAUGUGGGAUAAACUAAGAGAAAUCCAUGAGGGUGGUGACAAUGUGAAAGAACAGAAAAAGGCCAUCUUGGUCACGAAAUAUGAAUCAUUUAAAAUUGAACCUCUUGAGGAUAUUGACAAAAUGUAUUGCAGGUUCACUGACUUGAUCAAAGAUCUCGAGGCGUUGGGCAAAGAGUACACCUUGGGAGAGAAGAACAGGAAAAUUCUCAAUGCCUUGGGCAAAGAAUGGGAAAAUAAAGUGACAGCAAUAGAGGAGGCCAAGGAUUUAAGUUCUGUGCCUAUUGAAUCUAUCAUUAACUCACUAACCACUUAUGAGUUGAAACUGAAAUCUAAAGUGCAGGAGGAAGAGGAUGCUAGAGCAAAGAGAAACAUUGCUCUAAAGACUACUCAAGGUGAAGAUGAUUCUGCUCAUCUGGAUGAUGAAGACUCGGAUGGUGAUGAUAAUGAUCUUGCUCUCAUCACCAGAGGCUUCAAAAGAAUCCUGAAUAAAAGAAAGUUUAGAAGGGGAGGACCUAGCAAUCAAUUCCAGAAUCAGCCAUCUAUCGCAAAGUAUAAAGGUAAACAAGAUUUCAACAAGAAACAGUUGGACAAAUGCUUCGAAUGUGGACAGAUUGGACAUUAUGCAAACGAAUGCCCCAUGAAGAAGAUGAAAGAUGGAAAAGCUGAUCGAAAGCCAAGAUUCAACAAUUUUCAGAUUACUUGGAAUGAAUGCAACUCCGAAGGGGAAGUUGAAGAAGAAGAAGAAUCUGCUCAAAUGGCCUUCAUGGCUAUUGGAAAUAAUGAGGUAACCUCCACACACUCUCAAUCUGAAAGUGAUAAUGAUGAAGAUGAUGAUCUUGAAUCUUUUGUUGAAAAACUGCAUAAUGCCUUGAAGGAAUCCUAUGAUAAAAACAAGCAGUUAAAACAGAAAAUGGCUUUUCUCAUUCAAGAAAAUGCAAGUCUUUUUCAACAAAAUAAACAACUAAAGACCGACAAUGAAAGUCUAGUAAGAGCUGGAUGUAAUGUUCAAGAUGAGCUUGAUAGAAAGACAAAUAUUUGUGAAAUGCUGAAGGAAAGACAUGGUGAUUUGAAAAAAAGGAUGGACAGCUUGGAUGAGAAUUUGAAAGCAAGAAAGCAGGAGUUUAACAAAAGGAACAUGUUAUCUACACAUCCUACUACUUUUCAAAGAACAUUUGCACACAACAAAAUGGCACAUGGUUUCACAACAUAUAGAAGAGGUGAAUUAAGAUAUGUCAAACCAGUACAUGUUAAGGACUCUUCCAUUAUGUGUGUUUUUUGUUGUCAAAGAGGGCAUUUGAAAAGUAAUUGCUAUGUGAAAAGAAAUCUGAAUAAAGGGAUGAAGUGCAUGUGGUUAGUUAGAUACAAUGCUAACUAUUAUGGACCCAAAAAUUAAAAAGGGUACCAAACACGUUAUCUUUUCAGGAUAAAGGAUCAAACAAGUCAAAAUGGUUUAUUGAUAGCGGCUGCUCAAGGCACAUGACCGGUGAUCCUUCCUUGUUCAUAAAGCUGAAAUCAAAAUCAAGUGAAAAUGUAACAUUUGGUGAUGAUGUGAAAGCUAAGACAAUUGGAAUAGGUGAUGUUGGUAAGGAUGGUGAAACUUUUGUUCAUAAUGUGCUCUUGGUUGAUAACUUAGGUUAUAACUUGCUUAGUGUUAGUCAACUGUGUGAUAAAGACUUGUAUGUGUUAUUUAAAAAGCAUGAAUGCAUUGUACUUGAUUCCAAAUAUAAUGUUGUGUUCAAAGGUAAGAGGUUUAAUGACAUAUAUAUUGUGAUUCUUGAUAAAGUUGAUUCUUCUAGCUUAAAAUGUCUUAAAGCUUCAAAUGAAGAUUCUUGGUUGUGGCAUAGAAGACUUUGUCAUUUUAACAUGGAUUUACUAAAGGAAAUUUCGAAAAAGGAGUUGGUUAGAGGCUUGCCAAAAAUUAGUUUUGAUAAGGACAAAAUAUGUGAUGCAUGUCAAUUUGGGAAGCAAACUAAAAUUUCUUUUAAACCAAAAAUGUGUGUAUCUACUUCAAAACCUUUGGAACUCUUGCAUCUUGAUUUAUUUGGUCCCACUCAAAUCACUAGCUUGGGAGGUAAAAAAUAUUGUUUUGUAAUUGUUGAUGAUUAUUCCAGAUACACUUGGGUGAUAUUUCUUGCUCAUAAAGAUGAUGCCUUCAAGAAUUUUACUUCAAUGUUUGCUAAAGUGCAAAAUCUGCUUGGGUUAAAAAUUGUUAGGAUUAGAAGUGAUAAUGGGACGGAAUUCAAGUAUUGUGGUUUUCCAGAAUUUUGUGAUCAUAAUGGUAUAACACAUGAGUUUUCUAUUGCAAGGACUCCACAGCAAAAUGGUGUUGUAGAAAGGAAAAACAGGACUCUCCAAGAGGCUGCUAGAACUAUGUUGAAUGAAUGUAGGUUGCCUAAAUAUCUUUGGGCGGAAGCGGUAAACACUGCAUGUUAUGUGAUGAAUAGAAUACUCUUGAGACCUAUUUUAAAGAAAACUCCUUAUGAGCUGAUUUUUGAUAAGAAACCUACGGUUGGUUAUUUCAAAGUAUUUGGUUGUAAAUGUUUUAUUUUGAAUCUAAAGGAACAUCUUGGUAAAUUUGACAAAAAAUCUGAUGAAGGAAUAUUUUUGGGGUAUUGUGAGAAUAAAAGAGGAUAUAGAGUUUUUAAUAGAAGGACACUUGUGAUUGAAGAAGCUAUACAUAUAACAUUUGAUGAAGCCAAUGAUGAUAAUUCCAAAAGUUUGUGUGAGGAUGAUGAUGUAGGUGUUCGAGAAGCAAUGGAAAAGCUAUCAAUUGGAAAUGAAGGAAGUUCUGAACCAGCAGCAACUGAAAUGGAAAAUGAAGUUCAUAAUGAUCAAGAAGAGGAAGAUGAAGACAAAAAUGAUGAUCCACUCAAAGAUCUUCCCAAGGCUUGAAAAUUCAACCAAAAUCAUCCAAAAGAGCUUAUAAUUGGUGAUCCAUCCGAGAAGGUAAACACUCGUUCCUCAUCUAGAAAAUUGAUUGAUAAUUUUGCUUUAGUUUCUCUUUUUGAACCCAAAAAUAUCAAUGAUGCUUUAAAGGAUGAAAAUUGGAUUUUGGCUAUGCAAGAGGAACUUAAUCAAUUUGAGAGAAAUGAAGUUUGGACACUUGUUGAUAGACCUCAAAAUCAACCUAUCAUUGGCACAAAGUGGAUUUUUAGAAAUAAGUUGGAUGAUAAAGGUGUUGUUGUAAGAAAUAAAGCCAGAUUAGUUGCUAAAGGAUAUGCACAAGAAGAAGGAAUAGAUUUUGAUGAAACAUUUGCUCCCGUACCAAGAUUAGAAUCUAUUAGAAUGCUUCUUGCUUUUGCUUGCUUCAAAGGUUUCAAAUUGUUUCAAAUGGAUGUUAAAAGUGCCUUUUUAAAUGGUUUUAUUGAUCAAGAAGUGUAUGUGGAUCAACCCCCAGGUUUUGAAAAUACAAAAUUUCCAAGUCAUGUGUUUAAACUUUCUAAAGCUUUCUAUGGUUUAAAACAGGCUCCAAGAGCUUGGUAUGAAAGAUUAAGUGGGUUCUUGAUUGAAAAAGGUUUCAAAAGAGGUAUUGUGGACACCACACUUUUUACUAAGCAUGUGUUGAAUGACCUUUUCAUUGUGCAAAUAUAUGUUGAUGAUAUUAUCUUUGGUGCUACUAAUGAGUAUCUAUGUAAGGAGUUUUCCACCACUAUGCAAAAUGAAUUUGAAAUGAGUAUGAUGGGAGAAUUAAAUUUCUUCCUUGGACUUCAAAUACAUCAAACUCUUGAGGGAAUCUUUAUCAAUCAAGCAAAGUAUACCAAGGAAUUACUGAAAAGGUUUGGCAUGGAGGACUCAAAACAAGUUGGAACUCCAAUGUGCACUUCCACAAAGCUUGACAAAGAUGAAGAAGGUAAUCAUGUGGAUGAAAAGCAUUAUAGAGGUAUGAUCGGAAGCUUACUCUAUUUAACUGCAAGUAGACCUGAUAUUAUGUUUGCAGUUUGCUUGUGUGCUAGAUUUCAAUCGUGUCCAAAAGAAUCACAUUUGAAUGCUGUAAAAAGAAUUUUUAGGUAUUUGAAAGGUACAUUAGGCUAUGGUCUUUGGUAUGCUAAAUCCAGUGAGUUUGCACUAUAUGGUUAUUCGGAUGCUGAUUUUGGAGGGUGUCGUGUAGAUAGAAAGAGUACUAGUGGAUCUUGUCACUUUCUUGGAAAUUCUUUAGUCUCUUGGUUUAGCAAGAAACAAAAUGCAAUCUCAUUGUCUACAACCGAAGCAGAAUAUAUUGCCGCUAGUGCAUGUUGUGCUCAAUUUUUAUGGAUGAAGCAUACCCUGAAUGACUAUGGAUUGUUGUAUGACUGCAUGCCUGUAUUCUGUGAUAAUACGAGUGCUAUAAAUUUGACCAAAAAUCCUAUUCAGCAUUCUAGGACAAAGCAUAUUGAAAUAAAGCACCACUUUAUUCGUGAUCUUGUUCAAAAAGGUGAAAUUUGUGUAAAUUAUGUUUGUUCUAAAGAUCAAUUUGCUGAUAUUUUUACAAAAGCUUUGCCAUUAGAUCAAUUCAUUCAUCUAAGAUCAAAAUUAGGAAUGUUCGAAAAAUCAUCAUAAAUUUUUCAUUGCCUUCGGACGUCCGAAAGAGGAUGAAUGGACGUCCGAUGAUGUUCUUCAGCCAUUUUCCAGAUUGCACCUGUUCGGACGCAGCUGUCGGACGCACAACUUCGUUCGGCAGUCCGACAGUGCAACGGCUCAUUUUUUAAAAUAACUUUCUUCCUUAUUUGCUUCAGUCUCUUCCUAUUCUAUCUCUUCUCGGACGAAAACCCUCUCUUCUCUCACUCUCAAAUUCGUACCAUUCUGUAGCUACCAUUCCCAAAUUGACUCAACCAAAACAUUUCCCCAUCGUUUGCGUUUCAUUUCUCCUGAUCAUUUCACCAAACUGAGUAACACUUCGCAAAUCCCCAAAUUUUCCUCACAAUCCUACUCUUGCAUAACCGCUCUGUCAAAUCUCGUUCAAGGUGUUUUUGUCCCAAAAUUUCUGUGCGAUUCACUUCCCUACUGUUGUGUGCAUCAUUUGCAUCCUCCAUUCCACACAUUUAGAACAAUGGUGAAUCUAAGGGGAGGAAAAGUUACUGCCGGACGCAAGCAUCCACUCAGGGAUGAGGAUGAAAAUCUUCCUACUGUCAAACGGACAUCCAAACGCUUCAAAAGGGGAGCUAUCAAGGGUCAAAUGUCACGACCUACUCCACAACCCACUUCUCAACCAGAAUCUGGACAGGGGACCUCUUCUCAACCGCCUCCUAAAUCAGUCCCUCUCCCUCCAUUCUUUGAUGAUGCUGCGAAAGACAAAUACGCCUGGAUAUCUCAGAAGGGUGUCAUCCCUCAAAGAACUGUAAACCCCUCUGAAUUUCGUUCCAUAGGUUUAGAAUCCAUUCUAAGUCUAUUUGAUUUCCAGAAAUGGUCGCAUCUCAUUUCCAUGCCCAAUGUCUACUAUCCUGAUAUGCUGCAUCAAUUUUUUGCUAACCUUAGGAAAGGAACUGACCAAACUGAGAUCAUGUCUAGGGUAAAUGGGGUAGACCUAAUCUUUGAUUCUGAUACUGUGAAUUCCAUUUUAAAGACUACCAUUGAACGUUUGUGCAAAGAUAAGGUUGCUAAUUUCUUUUCUUAUGAAGAGCUUCCUACUGCUGCAAAUCAUUUUGAUGGGACAAAAAUGUUAACUUAUUUCAAAAGAAGUUUUUCUUCACCUGCUGAUGCUAAGUUGAAUGAUUUGGCUCCUGUGAAUUUGAUUGCCUUUUCUAUCAUUUCAAACUUGCUUGUGCCCACUGAUGGCCAUAGAACUGAUGCAAACAAAAUGGAGCUGUAUCUUUUUUACUGUUUUCGAGAAAAAAUUCGGAUUGAUUUUGGCUUUGUCAUGUGCAAGUUUUUACUUCGCUAUGCUACUGACUCUCGAAGAAAACUAUCCUAUGGGAAGUUUCUUCAAAAGAUUUUUGAAUUUUACAAAGUUCCAAUUCUAGGUGUUUGUCCCAAAGAAGCAUCUUCUUAUGCUUUUACCAGAGCAUAUUUUGAAAGGAAAAAUCUUAUUUUUAAAGAUAAUCUGUGGGCAUAUAAGGGGGCAUCAUCUAGUGAACAAAGAUCUAAGACUGUACAUGAUUCUUCACCCAUUUCACUCACUCCCAUUCACCCUAGGAAGUCUACCACUAAAGCAUCUUCCUCUUCCAGUAAUGAGGUAAUUGAGCUUCUUCAUGAACAAAAACAGCAUGUUCUUCUUCUAGAACAUGGCCUAAUGCUCACCAUGUCUUCUGAGCAACAAGCUGCCUUUCUUGAUAAAAAGAACCUUCUUUUUCCUCCACCUGUGGUUGAGGAAGUCUCACAUGACAAAGAACCUCGAACCACUGAUCCAGGUUCAUCAGUUCCAGAUCCGAAUCCAUCAACUCCUGUGACUCCUCAUGGCCCUUCCACAUCAGACAAAGGCAAGGCACCAAUUGAAGAAGCUACUGAAGAUGAUGAAGAAACUGAUGAGGAAGACCUCUCUCAAUAUCAGCUCUCUCGGAGGACUCCUGGAUCCACUUAGUUCAUCAUUUAGGACAUUUGCAUUCUGUUUGUCUCUUUUAUGUGUUUGUGGUAUUCAACAAUGAAUAUGUAUUGUAAUGGAUAUUUUAAGUUUCUUUUGGUAUGAUCUGGUGGAUGUUUAAGUACUGUUUUGAUGAAUGUCUAAAUAUUUUGAUGAAUGAUUGUCUAUUCUGCUUGUGUGAAUGUAAUGAAUUUGUGGAUUGUAUGAUUGUCUAUUGAAUAUGAUUGUCUAUUUUAAGUACUGUUUUGAUGGAUGUGUUGGAUGGUGUCACCAGGAUGUUGAUUUGUGAACUUGUGUAAAUUUGUGACUGUGUGGAUGACAAAAAGGGAUGUUGAUGUUGAUGUGAUUGGUUGCCCUUUUGUGAUGACAAAAAGGGGGAGAUGGUAUAAUGAUUGGAUUGAGUGAUGAUUGGUGAUUGAUGAAUGAUUGGAUUGAGUGAUGAUUGGUGAUUGAUGAUUAGUGAUGUUAGGAUAUGUUGGAUUGAUUGUUUAAAUUUGGAUUGGCUGAUAUGCUUAAUUGUUUAAUGUUUAAUUGUUUAACUCGGAUGGGCAGCCAAGUGAGGGGGAGGUUUUUCAAAAUUUUUAAAUUUUAGGAUUCACUAAGACAGGGGGAGUUUUCAUUUCAAUCAUCAAUUUCAUUUCAAACUUUUGUUUUGUCAUCAUCAAAAAGGGGGAGAAUGUUAUUCUUGGUUUUGAUGAUCACAAAAGUUUGUUUAUACAGACCAAGAAAGUGAACACUUUGAUCAGGUCUGUUGGAACAAAGAAAGCGUAUGUUCGUUUAUCUCCUGACUACGUUGCUUUGGAUGUGGCAAACAAGAUUGGAAUAAUAUGAAUGAAUUUAGUCAUUGUUUUGUUUUCGAUCAAAGAUAUUGUCUUUUAAGUAUGUCUAGUUUGUCAUUCUUGGUACUUUGAAAUAUUUGUCUAACCUUCCUCAAAUACAAGUGUUUUUUUGUCUAUCCAAGAAUCAGAUUCAAAUAUGUCAUGAAAUGUAAAACAACCAAAAUGAGAAGCAAAAACAGGACAAUCAGGUCGGACGGCCGAAAGGAAACUGUCGGACGUCCGAAAAGAUAAAGAACAUCAGGAAGGAAGCACCGUCGGACGCUCACAUGGAAGCAUCGGACGUCCGGAAGGAUCGGACGCUUGCCAUCGGACGUUAAUCAACCGCAUCGGACGUCCGAAAAAUUCCAAGAUAACUUGCUAGCUCUCGGCCCAAGGUCGGACGCUGUGCUGUCGGACGACAAAGAACUUAUCGGACGUCCGAACCUCAACUUGGCUAUCAUCGGACGAUUGGUUCGGACGAUGAUUCGAUCGUCGGACGUCCGACAGCCCCAACGGCUAGUUGACUCUUCAGCUGCCUUCUAUCCGUUGGAAGCAUUGAUGAAACCCAUUUCUGGAUCCCUUUAAAAUCAAACUGGUCUGAACGAAGUAGGGACUUUUGCUCACUUUGUUUACAAGUUCUCAAGGGAUAUUUUAGCUAGAAAAUAGUCUCCAAAGCAGAUUUGUAUUAAAGUGGUGUGAAUUUCUGUUGAGCAUUUCUUUUGUGGUUGAAAGGAUCUUUAGUGUAGCUUUGUUGAGGGUUUUCUGAGUGAUUGUAAAACUUCCUAGCUUGACUAAGUGAGGCUUAGGGCAAGGAGGAAGAGCUCCCUCCAUUGUACAUCUAGUUGAUCUUCGUUCAUCAAAGAGAAGUUGCUCUUCCUAGUGUUUAGUCUUCAAGUUUGGGUAAAGCUUGGUAGACACUUGGUUUGUUUCUCUAUUUUAUAUUUCUGUUUAAUAAAAUCUUCAUUGCUUAUCUAUACUUGCUUCUCUGAUUAAUAUUGCUAUUGUCUUCUAAUCUACUUGGUUGAUCAUUACUAAAAAGGAAGGUAAAUUUUCAUUAAAGAAAAAGUGCAUAAACUUGGUUAAGUUUUUAAUCAACCAAUUCACCCCCCCUCUUGGUUGUCUGUGGGACUUACAUAAAGCAUAGUAAAAUUUUAAACUAACACCUAGAAAAUAGCAAUCAUUUUGGAAACAAAUCCUGAGAUUUAUUAUAAUAUCACUUAACUUCUCUGAAGUUUUUAAAAUCUUACUUUCUUCCCCUGCCAACUUGGGAAGAUCAAGUGUUUCUAUCAAAGGUCACAAAUUUACAACAAUUACUGUUGCACUCUUUAUGACUAUUUAAUUGAAAAACCAAAACAAGAAGAGAAUUUUUAAAAGACCAAAAACUAAAGAUGAGAAAGAUAACCAAAUUGCUAUCCAAUAUUGGUCUAUAUUUCUUUGUAUCAACGUGGUGGUGGAAUAGUAAAAGACAUGGAUAAAUUAAAUUCUAGUUAAAGACAUGGGUAAUUUUUGUAGAAAAGUUUUGAGGAAAUCAAGAAAUUCUUUUAGAAAAUAUGUUCUAAUAUAGGAUAUAAUUUAAGUUAUACUAAAAAUUAAAAUAACCUCUUCAUACAUGUGGUUUGUAAUAUAAAUCCUACUUAUAGAAAAAAAAUUAUAUAAAUAAGUCAGAAUUUAAAAAAUUAGUCAAAAAUGUUCUAAUGACCAAAUAUAUAUCUAGGAAUAUUCUUUUUUUUUUGUUAGAACAUGAUUUGUUAUACAAGGUAAUAGUUAUUGUACAUCUACAAGAUUAUUCGUUAUUGCAUUUAUAGUUGCUCAUAUUUUCAACUUUUUACUUGUUAAAUUUAUUUUAUUUUUUAUUGUUGUUGUACGCUUAAUAAGUAGGAUAGCAUAAGAGUAGUAUUAGAACAAAAAUUUUAUCUUUCUUGCAUUUCCUUCAAAGGGACUAAAAUGUUAUGAAAAAUAUGAAUCCAAGAGAGGUAUGUGAGAUUUUAAAAAUUGAAAGAGUUCUAAGUGAUAUUUUGAGAAAUGUCAUGCGAGGUUUCCGAAAUCAUUUCCGACUUAUUAGUAUUGGACCAUUGGUAGGCUGUGUCGGACGAAGCAAAUCACAUGUCAAAUUUCAUUUGAUUUACGGCUGGAAGGCUAAGGAAGCUGUAGGUCCUGAAGCAAAAUUAGAUGGUUGCCAUAAAACAACAAAUCUUUUUAAAGGUUUUUUUUAACUAAAUAAAAUAUUCCCUCUCAAAUUAGUUUUCUUUUUCCAAAUUUCAGUUAUGUGAGUAAAUGAAAGCUUUUACAACCAUUAGUUCUUUUAAAAUAUUUUAAAGCGUAACUGCAUGUACACAUUCUAUAUUCAUUUGCCUCUUCUUCAGUUUUUAUACUCCAUCUAGGAUGUCUAAUCAUAAUUCCGUAAAAAAUUAAAAAACUAUAUAUAUUUUUCUUUAUAAUUAGUCAAUUAUAAAUUAGUAAAGUUCUAAUCAAUUUCAUCCAUUAUCUAACUUGCAAGAAAGGAAUAGAUAUCUCCUAAAUACAAAGUUCAAAAGGAAUUUCUAGUCUUUUAUAAUCACGUUCACAUGAUGUUUCGGUGGAUAUCCAUUUGUCCAUUUUCCGUUACAGAAACUUUACUUAUUACAAUCUUUUCUUUACACUCCUCUAAAAUAGUAUGAAGUAUUACCAUAAUUCUUAACAUAAUUAAAAUAGUAUUAAUUAUUCUUAAUAACUUUCAAAGUAUGUUUUAUGUUUAGUGUCUUACAUUCAUUAAAUUUAUUGUUUUAGUUCAUUAAAAUUCGAAGAUAAAAAGAAGUUAAUGCAAAUGCACGGCUGAAUAACUGGUGGUCUAAUUCUAUUGCUUGCUUAUCCACAAGAAUGACCACACCAACACUACAUUAAUACACUCAUAUUUCUUAAUUACUUGCAUUACUUAUUCUUUCUUCCCAACAAUUCUACAGCCCAUCAUCAUCAUUCCAAUUUUAAUUCAAUAAUCUUCAUACAACUCUGAACAUAUAACUACAUUUAAUAUAAAUUCGUGUCAUUCCUGCAUUUCAAUUCUCAAAAUCUUAUGGCAUGCCUUACUUUAUAAUGGUGUUUAAUUACUUAAGUUCAUAAACAAUCAUUAGUAUCAAAAUCAUAAACUUGUAUCGCACAAUAGGAUGCUCUUCGCAUCAUUAUCAGAAGUAAUUUCAAUUUCUUCGCAUAGUUUGUUUGCCCCAUCACUUAAGCACGGCAAGAAUUUUUUUUUAAAAAAUUUUAAAUAGCUGCAACAAGUUAUUAACAAAAGAUAUUAUGCUAGCUCUAAUACUAUGACGCUAUUCCCGUUCCUCUAGAGGAUUUUUCAGUCAACAAACUCCUUCAACUCCCUUCCUCAAGUUCUUUCUAGGGUUCUUUCUAUUUGUUUCUGUAAUGCAUUUUUUUGACAAAUUUUCAAUCCUAGUAUUUUCUCAGUAGAAGUAUCUUUCUUGCUUAGUGAGAGUUUUUGUUUUUUGUUUUUUUAGUUUUUAUUAGAUUUAAGUUUAUUCAAGUCUAAACUUUCUCGUAGGGCUUGAAAAUCUGUCCGGGGAAGGCUUACAAAUCAUUUACAACUACAGAGAUUUAUAUGCAUUUAAUUGUAAGAAAAUUGGGAGCUUUCUAGUAUUUUUUUUGUUAUUGGUUUCUCUGAUUUGAAGGAAGUCACUUCUAUUUGCAUUUCCAUUGCGUCUUUUUCAUAUAUUUGCUGCUAUUUGUACAACUUUUCUGUGAUUAAAUAAAAUUCCCUUCCUCGUUAAAAUAAAUGAAAGAAAAUAUGAAGGAGAAAUUAAAUUGAUCUAAUUGACAAUAUGUCUUUAUAACUAGAUGCCUUCUCAGAUAUUCUCAAAAACUUCCAUACUCUAACUAUCAUUAUUUUACCACAAUAGUACUUCUUUAACAAUUACUAGCAUUUCUAUGUUAUCAUUUGAACUGCUUCCUUUCCAUCUUUGGUACACUUAAAUUUGCAAUUAUCUCAUGAAAUUCUUAAAUUCAGUAACUUUCAACUACAUGUUAUGAUGAGAGAUAUUUGUUUGACAUGAUAUAAACCUAAUAAGAAAAGAAUUCAAUUUGAUAACACACGUAAGACAAUAUAUAUAGGUCCAUGUACAUAAACCAAAGAACAAAAUUAUAUCAAUUCAGUAAGCACAUUUAAUAAUAUUCCCUGGAGCCUUAAAGCAUAAGUUAAACAUUUUAUCUGGAAAUGUCUCCUAAGAAUCUUAUACGUGAUGAAGUAAUUAGGCAGAGAACUGGGAAACGGAAAGACUCGAGCAUAUGCGUUUUUUUUUUUUUUUUUUUUUUUGUGAAAUUGCAUAACAAAUAUGGUAAGUAGCACCAAUCCAGUGGGAUGGCCUAUUAUAAGUGCAUAUUUUGCAUGUUUUAAGUGUGUUUUAUUAUUUAGUUUUGGUGUGUUUUAACUACAUUUAUAGCUACUUAACUAAAUUUCUAGUGAAAAUAUGCUUAUGGUUAAAAUUUUAAAAAUUGCAUUUCUAUGGAUUUUAAUAGCGAUAACUUUAUUUUUUUUAUAGGUUUAAUAGUUCAAUCAUCAAUUGGAGUGAAUUGAAAAUAUACUUGGAUGAUUAUUGAUGAUUUCAAGUUGUUUAAAGAAGACAUGAAGUGCAAAAAUGAAAUGCAAACAAGAACAAAAGAAAGAAAGUUUUACAACUUUGACACCUUGUGAUAUUUCGGCUAUAUCUUGCACUACAAACAUCAGAUUGAGAUCAUUAUUAAGCAUUUGAAGCUAAGAGAUAUAUCUAUAUUUGUUAUGAAGACAUCAAAGUGCAAUUCAAUUUUUUUCUUUUUCAAAAAGUCGAAAUAUAGAAGUGCAAUUCUAUUGUCAAAUCUGUAGCAGAGUCUUGACCAGGUGAUGAAAUUUUGGUCAUUUCUCAAUCCACAGAGCUUCAAAUUGGAUGAUUCCUAAUGCAUUGAAAAGCUAACUCAAAAAGUUACAAUUUUUAUGUUUUGCACAAGAACUAGUUCAGCCUCCAUCAUCAAGAAAAAAUCAGUGAAAGUUAGGAAAAGCAGAGAAAGUAAAUUCGAGUUCGGAUAUAAACUAAACCCGACCUCGGAUAAACUUCUGUAAUCGGAGGCUACAUCUAAGAGGAAGAUCCGAGCUUGGAUCCCCAUGUUAUAGGCCUCAGAUCCUAAUGUGUAGUGAAGAUAAAAAUGGAGAAAACUGAAAUCCAAGGAGUAUUUAGAGCAAUCGAACCUCGGAUCCCCAAUUGCGAAUCUGCAACUUGUGCUCCAUUCACACAACCUUUUUUAUCACUUUUUCUACAAAGAUUCUGGCUGGAAAUGAGCAUAUGAGCAUGGAAGUUUUGAGAAGAAACCUUUGAGAUUUUCAAGAGUCGAAAUGCUAACUAGAAACAACUCAUCUUGAGCUUUAAUCUUUCUAUAAAUAGAGGCCUUGGAAAAUAUUUUUACAACUUUGGAAGGCUAGAAAAACUCACCAACAAUGUAGUCUUUACUAGAAUUUCCUUAGUUUCUUAGUUAGAGUAGAUUAGUAUAGUUAGGCUAGUUUAUCCACUCUUAUAUAAUGGUAAGAUUAGGAUGAAGAUGGAGAUGAAAAAGGAGAGGAUAAAACUCAUGUGACAAGGGCUAUCUCUUCUCCAUUAUCUUUUACAUUGGAUUCUUAAAUAUGGUUAAUAUGCAAGUUUUGGAAUUUGUUUUCAUGUUUUGCUAAAGUUUAUACCUAGAGUUAUGAAUGAACUUUUUAUAUCUUACUAGUGAUGUUUAUUUGGUUAUUUGAUGAUGUUAUUUUGAACAAGUUAUUUAUCACUUUUGCUUAUCUAAUCAUGAUUAGAUAAGCAAUUAAUUAUGAUAAUCUUAAAGUGUUAAAUUUGUAAUGAAAAUUGAAAUUUAGCACUAGUUCAAGAAAGUGAUAAACCUAUGGAAUACACUCACGAAAGUAGAGGUGCAACUUUGUAACUUUAGUGACUUGUUUCAUGUAAUUUCAUAGAAGAAAUGAGUUUGUAGUUAGUUUCAUAACUACGAAAAUAGGUAUGAAUUAACUAUUGGUAUAGUUGGUAUAUCGGUGAAAGCACGUAUCACGUAUAUUAGGAAAUUAUGUCAUAACUAGUCAAGAUAAUAGUAACUUAACCGAUAAUUUCAUUUGUAAAAGUAGUAAGGAAUUCCAUACCUCUAGGAGCUUUAUAUUGUCAUUUUUAUUACUUUUAUCUCAUGUUUGUAGUGAAAUUUUAAUUUCUUGCGCUUAUGAUAGUAUAAAUAAUAAAGGAGUUCAAAAAUCAUCGGUAAUUGACAAUCUUUCCUAUGGGAUCGAUACCUAAUACCCCUAUACUCAAUAAACGACUUGUAUACUUGCGAAAAAUCGUGUGUGGAGUAUUUAAAAUUAUAUAAAUGUAGAACUUGAAUGUGGAUAAACCAAUUAUUAUAUAUAUAUAUCCGGCGUUCAUUAGCUCUCUGCCAUUGAUGAGGGGAAUUGAUAGAAGAUGCUAAGAGGUAAGACGGCAGAAAACGCAUUGCUUUGAACUGUAAACUUGUGCAGAUUUGCGUGGCCAUGACACUACUUGGACGGUCGGACCAUUCAGUACUGACAGACCGUGCUGUAAGAAAGAGUGACAUCCACAGUCAACUCAAGGGCGGAGCCAUGUUAGAGAUCAAUAAUCAGAGGCUUGCAAAAUUUCGUAAUUUUUCAAUUUAGCUCACAUUUGCACUGACAAAUUUUGUAAAAAUUUCCUUUUGCUCUCGCAUUGCCCCUUAAAACAGCUAACGUAUUGGAAACGUAGAAUGGACCAGCUAAAUAACCAAGAUGCCACUGAUCACAAUAAUUUGCAUAGUGAGUUAUUGAGUGACUUCCCCGCCUUUGCUCAUUAUAAAUGCCGGCCCCCUCCACAUUCCAAACAUACUCAACCAGCUUCUGUGCUAUAUUUUGCUAUCUUCUGCCACCACCACUGCUCCCACAAAAUGGAAAGCUUUUCUCCCACUUGGGCUGCGUAUGCACUCGAAUCAUACGAACAUAUUUGGGUGGAAGAAAUGAAUUCACUUCUGCAGCAGCUAUUCAAAUCAUUGGGCAAGCCUGUCGUGUUGAAAGAUUAUCUUUCAAUAGGGAGUUUCAAGGUGAUUAGUAGGAUGAUCUUGGGGGAAAACAUACAUUGAUGAGUCUUAGAACUCAAUUGUCAUGCACGAAGAGUUCAGGCAAAUGAUGGACGAGCUAUUUUUGCUGACUGGUAUGUCUAACAUUGGUGAUUCCUUACCUUGGAUCGAUUCCUUGGAUUUGCAGGGGUAUAUCAAAAGGAUGAAAAUCAUGAGCAAGAAAUUUGAUAGGCUUCUGGAACAUGUUCUCGAUGAGCAUAAUGCCCAGAGGGAGGAUGAAGUUGAUUGUGUCAACAAGGACAUGGUGGACGUCCUUUUGGACCUUGCAGAUGAUCCCACUUUUGGAGGUAAAGCUAGAGAGGCAUGGAGUCAAGGCAUUGACUCUGGUAUAUGUUACUUACAAACUGCAUAAUGUGUGCUGUCAAGUUUUAAACGCCUAAAAACUUAGAAAGUAGUCAAUGAUCUUUUGAACUUGAAUACUCCCCAAAAUUUUCUUUGCUACAAAAAACUUGAGAGAAAAUAGUCAGAAUCUUUUGAGUUUGAUGAAAAUUUUUCAAUGGAGUCAGAAUUAACAAGAAAAUUUCUUUUUAAUCCUUCAAAAAGAAAUUGCUUUUGCUAAACGUACUCAAAUAAGUUAGUGACGAGUGCAGGGUAUACAUAUGAUAGGGUGUUAAUUGUUAGUAAUUUUAUUGUUAAUUUUCCCUUUUAUCUUUGUCAAAUAUUGUUUUAAUUAUUAAUAUUUACUUAUAUUUGGUAUUGGAGCCAAUUUCAGGGAAUGAAGCAGAAAACUACAAAAAAGAAGGGACUUUCUGAAGAUAAUUGAGACUUCAAAUAAGCCACAGACCUGGCCCACAUGGUGAUAUACGCGGACUGCAUUUCUUUUUUGCGGAUUAGGAGUAUCUUGGAGUGUUGAAGUGUUUGACUAUCAAGAGGAAACUAAAGAAAGAAGGACUUCAGAGAACUUCACUUUAUGUACACUCCUUUCUCAAUUUGUGCGAGGACCACGGAAAGAAGAAAGGCAUUAGUCAUUUGAAUUGAAAGGAAACAAACGUGCAAAGAGUUGUCUUUGUUCCUUAUUCGUGGGGACCACUGGAUAGAUAGCUUGAGUCAUUUCCUUUUGGCUAUAUAAGGACAAUAGUAAGAAAGACUAUGGAGAGUUUUUUUAAUAUAGUUUAGUUUUAUUCUUUCUUGGUUCCUUUGAUGGCCUGGACCUCAGUUAAAUUACUUGGAGAUUUUCUCAUGAUACGUGGCUAAGUUUUCCUAGUCGAAGGUCAAUUUGAGGACUCGGUUUCGAACAUCUGUGAGAUCUAAUUAUUUUAUUUACUUCUUUUAUUUAUUGGUAUUUGUGCGUUUUCUGAUUUAAUUGCUUAUGCUUGUUAUGUUAUUUGAAUGUCAAGGGCCCGAUAUUCGAAUUAACCUAAUGAUCUAAUGCCAAAUUAAUUGAUUGAAUCCGUAAUUGUUCAAUUGAUUAAUACCAGUGGCGACUAGCGUGAUUGGUUUCAUGUUAGGGAAACGUAUGAUCUAACUUAAACAAACCCUCGUAGCGUGUUUGUUGGUUAGGAUUGGGCUUUUCUAAUUAUUAAUGCAAUCGAGUAAUUCAAUCCUAUUGUCGUACCUAGGGUUAUUUCUUGGUUAGAGAAAUAGUUAACGGUCGUACCUUAACUAUCGAGAAAUUAAGGAAAGACUGGUUGUUCAUCGCGUGUAUGGCAACUAUAACCAAUUUAUUAAUAAGUAAUUGAAUUAUCUUUGCGUCGAUGAUCAGUUGCAUGGACCGUAUCUGAAAAGUUGCACCUUUGGCUAGAGUCAUAUUGGUUAUUGAUUAAUUUCUAUUAGUUGUUUUAUUGGUUAGUUAAUUAGUUAUUUUAUAUUCUCCAAAAAAACCCCACAUACUUUGGACUUUAAAAUAAACGAAUUAUCCCCAGUCCCUGUGGAUUCGACCCUACUUAUCACUAUCUACAGAAAUUAUAUUUUAUUUAAGUAGGUAUUUAUUAUUGCACAGGUUUGACACCCUGUCAAUUUUUGGCACCGUUGCCGGGGACUGGUGUCAGAUUAAUUUGUUUCUUUUUGAAUUCAUCUUGUUUUCAUUUUUUUUUAUUUUUCUCUUAUUUUUUUAUAUAUAGUUUAUGACUUCUAACACUCCGUAUUUUGGUGAUAGACUGGAUUUUGUUUCCAGGGAAGACAAUGAGGCUUGUUUUUUUUUUUUCUAAAUUUGCAUAUUCAGAGGCACUAAACUCUCUUAUUGAAAGAAUGGCUGAUGCAACCUGUGGAAUUUGUUAUGUCAGGGAUCAUUCAACCGGUAUGUGCCCCGAAUAUCAAGACUACCUGAGUGAUUAUCUCACAAAAAAAUUUGGAGAUUCUUCACCUCGAUCUCAAACGUGGUAUGACUCUUAUUCAAACGGGUAUGAUCAAGGAUGGUGGGAUAACUCCAGUUAUAAUUAUACAACAGGGUCAAUGAAUUUUCAGCAGUAUGAGUCUCAAGAAUCAUCAUCUAUGUCAGGUAUGUCUUUUGAAGAAAUAGUUGAAUCAAUAGCUACUAAUACAUAUCAAUUCCAACAGGAGACACAAAUGAGAAAUGGGAUGAUGAAGGAUGCAAUGAGUAAUCUGGCAGAUCAAAUAUGUCUAUUGACAUCUAGAAUAAAUCGAUUGGCUUCUCAAAUUGAAAAAUUGCCCUCGAAAAUCAUUGUUGAUUUUGAAGAAAAUGAGAGUUCAAUUUGCUUGACUAGUGAUGAGGAGAUGCAAGAGUGUCAAAAUGAGAGAUCUACAGAUGCAGUUUAAAAAGAAGUCGAAAAGGAAGAAAUGGAACCCCAACCGCAACCCAUUCAAGUGAAAGAAUCCAGUGAAGAAUCAUCAAAUGUGGUGACACCACCUCCAUUCCCUAACCCGCAUUUUCUUAACUCUUACUCUAUGAUUUCUGUUAAUGAGAUUGAUUUUGCUAUACCGAAAGUUUUUGAGUCUCAUGGCAGAAAUAAGUUAAGAGUAGCUAUGGUCAAAUAUCUUGAACCGUUGAGUGCUCUUGAUGAAGGAGUGGAUGAAGAAUUGAGAUCACUGCUUGAUUAUUUGGCGCCAUCAACUAGUCCAUGGAAGACCGUAGCUCGUGUGCUCAAGGAUUACUCUAUUUACGAGGGCUAUCAGGACUAUAUAGAGGAUGAAGCAUUGAAACGAGUCACAAGAUUUUGUCCUCCCUAAGCAAACAUGAUAAUAUCUAGCCAAAAACGUUAAAGAAAGGCGCUUUUUGGGAGGCAACCCAAAUAUUGAUUUUAUUGUUUUUCGUUGUUAAAUUCUUUAAUUAUGCCGUUUCUUAUUUAGGUUGUGGUCGGUUUUAAUGUUUUCCUCCACUGUGAUCAGGACAGCAAUCUUGGCGUGCCCACGCGGUGUUUAUAACUCCUGAAGUCAGUGGACAUUUACCAAUCUUGGCGUGCCCACGUCAUGUUUGACGACCCAAAAGCUAAGAAAAAAAAAUUUAUUAUUUAUUUAUUUAUUAUUAUUAUUAUUUCUAAAAAAACAAAAAGGAUUAAAGUAUUUUAGCAAUUACAAUUUUCGAAAUUUGAAUUCAAAAAGGAAAAAAAAACUGAAAAAAAAGAAGAAAAAAAAAACAAAAAUCCACAAAAACUAUUUUUUCUUUUCUUUUUCUCCUUUCUUUCUCUUUUCUUCUUUUCUUCUUUCUUCUUUCUUUCUUUUUUUUCCUUUUCUUUCUUUCUUCCUUCUGCCCCCGCUGCUUUCCCUUUUUCCCUUUUUCCUUCGUUUCUUCCUCCAUUGCCGCCGCCGAACCCAGCUUCCUAGCACGACUACCACCUCGCAGCUCUACCGCGCGCCAGCCCGCCGCCAACCGUCGCUGCCCGCUUCUCCCACCCGCUACCAGCUCGCGGCCAAGCUCCUCUACCGCGCCUCCAGGCCGUCGCCCUGCUCCGCGAGCUCCACCGCACACGCCCCUCCCUCUCCAGCUCCACUUCACCCACAGACCACGGCCGCACUCUUCUCACCUAGCGUCCUACCACCAUCGCAAGCUCCACCCCAGCUUACCACCACCACCUCCCUCUGCUCUCUCUCCACUUCACACCAGAUCACGGCCAAUAGCUCCUCCUCGCAGCCCCCAGCUCCUCCACUAUAGCGACUCCGUGCGCUCCGCCGCUGCUCCACUGCUCCACCACCCAUGGCCAUCUGCUUGGUGUCUCUGGCAUGCAACAGAGGUACUUGUUUUUCCCAAUUUAUUGGCUAAUUUUCUAAGGUAAAUCACUUAUAUUUGGGGUACUAUUUCUAGAAUAGAUCUCUAGAGUGAAUUGGACACAGGCUUUGGGGUCUAUGUUGAACUUUGGUUUUCGGGUCCCUGCUAAAUUAUUUUACUGAAUUUUUUAUUCCCUAUGACUGUUGAUUUAAGUUGCUAAAUUAUUCGGGCCUCUGCUGAAUAUUAGUUGGCAGAGUUGUGCAUUUAUUUGUUCAGUCCAGCAACUAUAAUACUUAGUGCAUUGAUUGCUGAUUCAUGGUCGUAGUUACUAUCCCAAUUCAUUCAUUUGGGACUUCUUUUAGCCCUUGAGAUUGAUAUUUUCUGGACUCUCUGAUAGCUAUUUUAUUUGGAAGUUAUCGGGGGUUGACUUUGGGGUUUUGCUGCUUUUGUUGGGCGUUUGUUGUGAUUUUGGGUUGGGCAUUUAGUUGCUGUUUCUGUACACCAUCGGUUGCGAUUUCUAAGAGGUUCUUGUGGCUGAUUUAAUUUUGCUCUGAUUCCAUUUUUGUUGUGCACCAUUGACUAUUGGGCUUUUGUGCUUAAAGUGUUGCUCCUGCUAGAUCUCCGAACUGUUGCUGGAGUUACCAUUUUCUUGGAUCAAAUACUGAUUUUGGCAGGUUGAAUUGGGGAAUUGACUGUCCAAUUGGAGGCAGCUGUUACCAUUUUGGGACCAAUUGUGUCUAUUUUGCUGUGAUUUGUGUCUAAUUGUGGGUAAUUUGCUUGUUAAAUUGGGAGGUGCCUAUAACGCUUAAAUUUGCUUAUUGAAGUUAGUUGCCUCUGAUUGCCUUGUUUAGGAGCAUUUUAUCCUUUUGGUUUCCUUUACUAAGCUAUUUGGAGCACUUGUUGCAUGAUUGGACUGCCUUGAUUCUGAAUUUGACUACAUUUGGACCACAGGGGCUCAUUGAUUGCAUUUGUUAUUAGUGUUGAGGUAUUCGUAUAACCUGUGGGUGAUUGAAUUGUGCCUAUUGUUCAUUGGGUUGGUUUUAAACAAAAAAUUGUUAUUACUUUAAAAUUCCUGUUUCCAUUAUUUGUUGGCAAUUGUAGUCCCUUGUGAUUAGAGUGACAUCUAGAGAUCAUGGUAAGGCCAAGAUCCGCUUCUAGGUUAAGGACACCUAGACACUCGCAACCUCCUCCUACCCCAGGGGCUGACGAAUGGCACCAGGUCCAGAUGCGAGUUGAGCGACUAGCGACUCGGAUGACCCACAUUGACGUCAACCUGCAUCACAUGCGCAGAAUUUGGCAGCAUUUAUGCCCCAUGCAGGCCUUGAUCCUCAAUUUCCACCUGAACCGCCCCUGUUUUGAUGAUUUCAAGGAAGUACCGUUGCCCCUCUCUUUUCUUCUGUUUUUACAUUAUCACAUUGAGGGCAAUGUGUGACUUAGGUGUGGGGGGGUCAGUUUGGGUGCUAGUAUUUUUAGUUUUUAGGUUCUAGAGGUUUUUCCUUUGUUUUAGUUUGAUAUUUAUCUCCUUUUUCGUUUAUUUUCUUUUCUUUUCUUUUUCUAGUGGUCAGUCUUCAUAUGAAUACCAAGUUUGAUGCUGGAUUGUUGUCUCUAAUUCUGCUAUUGCCAAGUUUAUUAAUAAAAAGGUAUCAAGUUGAUGUGGUUGAGUUCAGGAACAUCUCUUUGGUGAAUAUCAAUAAUUACUUAACUUUUCCAAUUUUUGGUUAAUUUUUCUAGGCAUAGGGAAUGAUUGUUGGCAUUUUUCAUGUGAAUUGGUCCAAUUAUUAAUUUUUGUUCUCCAUGUCUGGAAAUUUGAGGCUGGCUGCUGUUAUUCUUGUGUUGCUUUUAGAUAUCGUGCUACAUGGUUGCAAAUAAGAGUGACUGUACACCGCUAGUGGUUACUACUGAGUAACCGGGGAUCUUCACUUGAAGUGUUGAUUUUCGUGUCAAAAGGUAGUAGUUGCUAUCAGUGCGUGGUCCCGUAGCAAUUGGAGCUGAGUAACCGGGCUCCUCCUCUAGCAAAUGUUGGAGUUCGCGUCAAAAGACUCUAAGGGCUAUAGACUAAGUCUUUUGUUAUUCAAAAAAAAAAAAAGAACAAAAAAAAAUGAGGAAAAAGAAGUGAAGUAAAGAUUGUGUUAGUAUGUGAAUAAGUCAGCUUGCCGGUUUGUGAUCUUAAUGUCGAGAUUUUGGUUAAUAGCUGGACCAUUUACUGAUAAAUGUGAGCAACCAUUCCUUUUUCUUAGAUUAGUUUGCUUUAAAUUGGAGGAGUUGGUGGUUGGGAAGCUAACCGGAGUGGUCUUUCUUGGAUCUUAACUGUGAUGCGUGAUAUAUGUUUUUCUAGGUAUUUUGGCAAUAUGAUAGUUAGAGCAAUAGCCAUUGUCAAAUUUUGGUGUUCAAGUGCUGUUCUUAUGCUUGAGGGCAAGCACGAUUUAGUGUGGGGGGAAUUGAUAGGGUGUUAAUUGUUAGUAAUUUUAUUGUUAAUUUCCCCUUUUAUCCUUGCCAAAUAUUGUUUUAUUUAUUAAUAUUUACUUAUAUUUGGUAUUGGACCCAAUUUCAGGGAGUGAAGCAGAAAACUACAAAAAGGAGGGACUUUCUGAAGAUAAUUGAGACUUCAAAUAAGCCACAGACCUGGCCCACAUGGUGAUAUACGCGGACUGCAUUUCUUUUUUGCGGAUUAGGAGUAUCUUGGAGUGUUGAAGUGUUUGACUAUCAAGAGGAAACUAAAGAAAGAAGGACUUCAGAGAACUUCACUUUAUGUACACUCCUUUCUCAAUUUCUGCGGGGACCACGGAGAGAAGAAAAGUCAUUUGAAUGGAAAGGAAACAAACGUGCAAAGAGUUGUCUUUGUUCCUUAUUCGUGGGGACCACUGGAUAGAUAGCUUGAGUUAUUUCCUUUUGGCUAUAUAAGGACAAUCGUAAGAAAGGCUACGGAGAGUUUUUUUAAUAUAGUUUAGUUUUAUUCUUUCUUGGUUCCUUUGAUGGCCUGGACCUCAGUUAAAUUACUUGGAGAUUUUCUCAUGAGGCGUGGCUAAGUUUUCCUAGUCGAAGGUCAAUUUGAGGACUCGGUUUCGAACAUCUGUGAGAUCUAAUUAUUUUGUUUAUUUCUUUUAUUUAUUGGUAUUUGUGCGUUUUCUGAUUUAAUUGCUUAUGCUUGUUAUGUUAUUUGAAUGUCAAGGGUCCGAUAUUCAAAUUAACCUAAUGAUCUAAUGCCAAAUUAAUUGAUUGAAUCCGUAAUUGUUCAACUGAUUAAUACCAGUGGCGACUAGCGUGAUUGGUUUCAUGUUAGGGAAACGUAUGAUCUAACUUAAACAAACUCUCGUAGCGUGUUUGUUGGUUAGGAUUGGGCUUUUCUAAUUAUUAAUGCAAUCGAGUAAUUAAAUCCUAUGAUCGUAGUUAGGGUUAUUUCUUGGUUAGAGAAAUAGUUAACGGUCGUACCUUAACUAUCGAGAAAUUAAGGAAAGGCGCGUGUAUGGCAACUAUAACCAAUUUAUUAAUAAGUAAUUGAAUUAUCUUUGCGUCGAUGAUCAGUUGCAUGGACCGUGUCUGAAAUGUUGCACCUUUGCCUAGAGUCAUAUUGGUUAUUGAUUAAUUUCUAUUUAUUUCUAUUAGUUGUUUUAUUGGUUAGUUAAUUAGUUAUUUUAUAUUCUCCAAAAAAUCCCCCAUACUUUGGACUUUAAAAGAAACGAAUUAUCCCCAGUCCCUGAAUUAUCCCCACUAUCUACAGAAAUUAUAUUUUAUUUAAGCAUGUAUUUAUUAUUGCACAGGUUUGACACCCUGUCAACAUAUAACAAUUAGUUCAUUUCACAAUCAAAUUUUAUAUUUAUAACAUUCUAAAUUCCUUAGAAGCGAUUUUUUUGCAAGUGCAUGAGUUGUGAUUGAGUAUAUGAUAUUAAGGGUCGAACCUACAGGGAAGAUUUUCAAAUAUUAUGGAUUUUCGAACUCCUUUAUUAUUUAGAUUAUCAUAAGUGCAAGAAAUUGAAUCUACACUAUAAAUAUGAAGUAAAAGUAUUAAAUAUAACAAUAGGAAACUCCUAAAGGUAUGGAAUUCCUUACUACUCUUGCCAAUAAAAUUACCGGUUAAUUGAAUGUUAUUAUCUUGGUUAGUUAUAGCGUAAUUUCCUAAUGUAUGUAAACCUACUCUCGAAGUGAAUCAAUUAUAUUUAUAGGUAAACCAUACUUACUCUCGUAGUUAUAAAAUUAAGUAUAAGUUCAUUUCUUCCAUGAAAUUAUAUGAAACAAGUCACUAAAGUCACAUAGGUGCACCUCUACUCUCAUGAAUGUACUCCCUAAGUUUAUCAUUUUCUUAAACUAGUAUUAAAUUUCAAUUCUCACUGCAGAUUUAAUACCUUAAUAUUAUCACAAUUAAUGGCCGAUUAAUCGUGAUUAGAUAAGCAAAGUGAUAAAAUAACUUGUUCAAAAUAAUAUCAUCAACUAACAAAAUAAACACCACUAACAAAAUAUAGGAAGUUCAUCGAUAACUCUAGGCAUAAACUUUAACUAAAUAUGGAAACAAACACCAAACUUGUAUUAUAGCUAAAUAUAAAAUCAAAUACAAAAGAGAAAGUGUUAGGAGAGAAGUCACCCUUGUCGCAUGAGAUCCAACUCUCCAUCUUUGCUUUUCAAAUCUUCAUUCAAAUCGAACUACAAACACAAAAAGGAUAAACUACACUAACUAUACUAUACUAAUGAACUAAGAAAAACUAAUGAAAACUAUAUUUUUGUGGAGUUUCUCUAGUCUUCCAAAGUUAUCAGAAUGUUUCUCAAAAGCUGCUAUUUAUAGAGAAUUCAAGCUCAAUAUGAGUUGUUUCUUAAUUGGCAAGUUUGGCUUUUGAAUUUACCAAGAAUUAUUUUCCAAGUUUCCACACUUUUCUUGGUCAGAUACAGCCUUACUGGAAUUGAGUUGGAAAGUUGUGUGAACAAAGAACAAGUUGCAACCGAAAAUGAUGAAUAUACGAUGACGUGCGCGGGGUAUACAUAUACAAUAAGUUUAUCCACAAUCAAGUUUUAUAUUUAUAAUUCCUAAAUAUCCUACACGGGAUUUAUUGCAAGUAUACGAAUCGUGAGCGAGUAUAGGGUAUUAAGGGUCGAUCCCACAGGGAAGAGUGACAAUUAUCGGUGUUUUUUGAAUUCUUUUAUUAUCUCAACUACCAUAAACAUAAAAUUAAUGAAAAUAAAACUAGAAAACUCCUAGAGAUAUGGAAUUCCUUACUACUCUUGCAAAUGAGAUUACCGGUUAAGUGAAUGCUAUUAUCUUGGUUAGUUAUGGCGUAAUUUCGUAAAGUAUGUGAAACCUACUCUCGUAGUGGAUCAACUAUACUUGUAGUUAUACUAUACCUACUCUCGUGGUUAUGAAAUUAACUACAAUCUCAUUUCUUUAUGAAAUUACAUGAACAAGUCACUAAAGCCACAAAUGUGCUCCUUUACUCUCGUGAGUGAAAUCCCUAGGUUUAUCACUUCCUUGAACUAGUGUUAAACUCCAAUUCUCAUUGUAAACUUAAUACCUUUAGAUAAUCACAAUUAAUGGUCUAUUAAUCAUGAUUAGCUAAGCAAAAGUGAUGAAUAACUUGCUCAAAAUAAUAUCAUCAAAUAACCAAGUAAACAUCGCUAACAAGAUAUAGAAAGUUCAUCCAUAACUCUAGGCAUAAACUUUAGAAACACAUAUAAAAACAUAAAUCGAAACUUAUAUUAUAGAUAAACAUGAAUUCAAAUACAAAAGAGAAAGUGAUAGGAGAGAAGUCACCCUUGUCACAUGAGCUCCAACUCUCCAUCUUUGCAUCUCCAAUUUUCAUCCAAAUCUAACUACAAAAACAAGAUGGAUAAACUACACUACCUAUAUUAUAUUACUCUAACUAAUGAACUAAGGAAACUCUAGUGAAAGUUACAUUUUUUGUGAGUUUCUCUAGCCUUCCAAAGUUUUUUAAAAUGCCCUCCAAAAGCUUUUAUAUAUAGAGGAUUCAAAAGCCAAAUGAGUUGUUUCUAGUUGUCAUUUUGAAACUCUCUAAGUCUGUUUCUCAAAGUGUCCAUGCAUCAUAUGAUCAUUUCCAGUCGGAAUCUUUGCAAAAAAAGUGAUAAAAAAGGUUGUUGAUAAGAGUUUAUUUUACGUAUUUUUAGUGUGUUUUAUUAGUUAAUUUUGGUUUGAUUAUUUAGUUUUAUAACUAAAAUAACUAAGGUUUUGGUAAAAAAACUACAUUUUAUGUUAAAAUGGCUAAACAUUGCAUUUUAUGGAUUUUUAUGGUAAAAAAACUUCAUAUUUUGUAGGUUUAAUGAUUCAAUCAUCAAAUGAAGUGCAUUGGGAAGAUAUUUGGAUGAUUGAAGAUGGAUUAAAGUGGUGAAAAAAAAAUAUGAAGUGUAAAAGGAAAAAUGCAAGAAAAGUCAGGUUUAACAACUCUGACACGUUUUGGUAUUUUGACUAUAUCUGGAGCUACACAGAUCGGAUCAAGGUGAUCUUGGUACCAUUUUGAAGCUAAGAGAUAUAUCUACAUUUGGUAUGAAGACAUCAAAGUCCAAUUCAGCCGUUUUCAUAGUCCAAAAGUUGAAAUACCGAAAUUCAACUCAGCUGUCCAAAGUGGAAAACAGAGCUCCGACCAGUCUAUAGUAUUUCGGUCAUAUCUCAGGCUACAAAGCUCCAAUUUGGAUGAUUCUUGAAGCAUUGAAAAGCUAACUCAAAGGGCUACAACUUUGCUGUUUUACACAAAAGCUAGUUCGGCCUUUAUGAGACAAAAUCGCAGAUUAAGUAAGGCCAAAGUGAAUACGCGAGUACACAAAACGUGACUUGUAACCGCGUUUUGUGUAGGCGCGUUUUCUGGCCGAAAUUCUGCAAUUUGACUCAGCCAUUUCCCUUGUGUUCAUACCACUUUCCAGCUAUAAGAUGCAAGGGAAUUCGGUGCACAUGCUUCAGAAGACAAAAUGGCAGACAAUAUGGCUUAUUUUCAAGUCAAAAACAAUGGUUUUUGACUAUCUUAACAAAAUGAGAUUUGAAGAAUCAUAGCAGCAAAUUUGGACUGGGAGAAGAGGAACUUUUCAUGAGUUUAUAUGCAGAGACAGAGAGCCAUUCAUUCAUUAUCAUACGGGGAGAGAACUUGAAGUGCAGAAAUGUAGUUCUUUCAUUUCCUUAGUGUAGGAUAGUGUAGUAAGUGUAGUUAAUCCAUUCUUGUAUAAUAGCUAGAUUAGGAUGAAGAUGGAGAUAAAGAAGAAGGAGUUGAAGCUCAAGUGACAUGGGUUAUCUCUACUCCAAUUCUUUAUCUUUUGUAUUGGAUUCUUAACUAUGGUUAUAAUGCAAGUUCUGGAAUUUAUGUUUAUUAUUUGUUUCUAAAGUUUAUGCCUUGGGUUUGGUUGAACUUCCUAUGAUUGUUAGUGUUUAUCAUUUGGCUAUUUAACUGCUAUGAUUUGAGCAAGUUAUUUAGCACUUUAGCUCUUUAAAUCAUGAUUAAUCUGGUACCAUUAAUUAUGAUUAUCUAAGGUGUUAUUUCUACAAUGAAAAUUGAGAUUUAACAUUAGUUCAAGAAGUGCUAAACAUAGGGAAUACACUCACGAGAGUAGAGGUGCACCUAUGGGGUUUUGGUGAUUUAUUUCAUGUAAUUUCAUUGAAGAAAUGAACUUGUAACUAAUUUCAUAACCAUGAGAAUAGGUAUGGAUUGGUUAUUAGUAUAAUUGAUUCACUACGAAAGUAGGAUUCAAAUGCAUAAGGAAAUUACACCAUAACUAGCCUAGAUGUAGUACUCAAUGAUCCAAAUAUAACACUUGCAUGAGUAGUUAGGGAUACCACAACCUAAGGAGCUUUUAUUUGUUAUUUUGUAUAAUUUCAGUAGGUUAAAUUUCUUAUAAUUCAUUGAUAGUCUAAAUAAUAGAGAAGUUUUAGUAAUACCGGUAAUUGUUCACUCUUCCCUAUGGGAUCGACCCGAUAUAUACCCUAAACUACUAGUUGAUCUGUAUACUUGCAGUGAACGGGUGUAAUUCGAUUUUUUAACUUGUACGUAUGUAAAAUACCCGUCAAGUUUUUGGCGCCGUUGCCGGGGAAGAUUUGGCAAUAUCGGUGUGAAGAGCAACUUUAUUAGUUUAGACAUUUUAUUAGUUAUAGUGUGAAUGUUGUUUUCUGUUAUUUUAGUGUUUUAAAUGUGUAUGUGUUUUAUCACCUAUUCUUCUUACUAAUUUUGCUCUUAAGUUGUUUAAAAGUAAUUUUAGGUGAUGAGAAAGAUAGGUCAAUUUGGAGGACAAUGCUUGAGAAGUGGAAGAUUGGCAAUGGAUGGUUAUCAAGUGCAAAGCUCCUUCAACAGAGGUAACCAAAAAUUUACUGAAUGUAUGUCUUUUGAAGAUGGUUUAAGGUGCUUAAAGGCUAAAUUUGAUGUUAUGAUAUUACAAGUUCAAAUGGACACAAUUAAGCAUGAAAUUGAGCAAGGGAGGAAUGUUAAUGCUUUUAAUUCUUAUCAUGUGAUUUGUGACUUGUGUGGAGGUUAUCAUGCUACUAAUACAUGUAUGCAAGCACAAAAUGUGGAUUAUUAUUAUGAAUUCGAGCAUUACAAUCCUUGUUUUGAUCAAUAUAGUGCUAAUUGGAGCAAUUCUCCUGCUUAUGGUUGGGAUAAUCAAUUUACUUAUAGUAAUUCUUCAUAUUUUUAUGAUUACCAAUCUGAAUGUGUCCAAUAUGAAUCAAAAUCAUCUUGGGAGUUGGCAAUAGAAAAAGUAGCUAAUGAUUCUAAGCCAUCUUGGGAGUUAGCUUUAGAAAAAUUAGCUAAUGCAACUUCUGACCGUUUUGAUAGGAUUGAGGAAAGAAUAGAUGAAUUAGCUUCUCACUUUGGUAGAAUACAUGAGCAAUUGAAUGCAUUGUGUGAAGUUAUUUUCUCUAAUAAUUUGCAAAACGAUCCUAGCAUGAAUGGUGGGAAUGUUGUAUGUGAAAAUGGGUUGCAUUUUGAUGAAAAUGAUGAAUCUCAAUUGUGUUUCAAUGAGCAAAUGUCCAUUUCACAUGAUAAUAUUGUUGGAACUAACUUUGAACCUCAAGAGGUGAGUUUUAAUGACUCAUUUUUCACCCCUCUUGAGGAGUGCAUUGAAAGUAUAGGUUCUAAAGGUAUUCCUGCCCAAGAUACUCUCAUGACAUUUCUUUUGGUAAGUUCUCAAGUGGUGCAUAUUCAAGAUAAUAUUUAUGAAACACUUGGAUUAGGUAAGUCACUUCUAUUUCUCACAUCAUUAGAUCAUGUGGCUUUUGCUAUAAAGUCACCUUUUAAUGAUCCACCACGACCUAAAAUGGUGGAUUAUUCUUUAACCAAGCCUCCUUGAUAAUGAGGUUCAAUAGUCGAGCCAACGACUAUAAAUAAAAGCGCUUAUUGGGAGGCAACCCAAUAUAUAUAUAUAUAUAUAUAUUUUUUUUUAGCUAUUUAUGUUAUUUUGGGGUGAUUUUAUGUUUACAGUAUGAGUUUGAGUUAUUUUGAUGUUUUUCAUUUGUAGGUAUUGGAAAUGAAAGCAAAAGUGACCAAAUGAGGUGAAAAAGGCGAAAUUUGAUCAAGGAACUCAACCCCUCGAUUUGAGUAAUUGUUGUUUUUGAUUUGUUAGAAGGGGUUAAAAUGCAUAUUUUGAUCAUUUUACAUGUGCAUGCAUUGAGAAUUUUAGCAAACAAAUGAUCUAUGAUGCAUUUUGAAAAUUUGGGGUAUCAUUUGUAAUUAUUCUUAAGUUAAAUUUCUGCUAAAUUUCGCAGCAGAAAAUGCAUUUUUCUAAAAAAACGCGCCAGUGAAUCGCGUUUUCAUAGAAUCGCGUUUUCAAUUCUGCGCCUAUAAUGAAGAAAACGCGCCUUAAAAAUGCGACAGAAAGUCGCGUUUUCCAGCCUGAUCAAAAAUUGAAAACGCGCCUUUAGAAACGCGACAUUAAAUCGCGUUUUUAAGCAUAGCCGCGUUUUCGAUCCUGCAAGAUAUGUGAAGAAACGCGACUUCAAAAAACACGGCUUGGUGGCGCGUUUUGAUGAGUCACGUUUUCUGAGCGAAAAUGCAGCUUCCUUGAUUCUCUUUUUCUUCUUUUUCUCAUAUAUUUUCUUGUACCUUGAGUUGCUUAUUGUAUUUUUUAUAGGUACAUCACCAAAACAAGAGCUUGAAGUUACGGAUCGCCGUUUUGAUGUCUUAAGCCUUUGUUAUCACUUUUGUUUCUCAUUUUCCAUUUUUAGGUUUACAUCACUAAUGGUUAUCCAAUGGAACUCAUGAAGCGUUGGAGAUACACGGACAAUGGAUCUUGAAGCUUCAUAUUCAAUCACAACAAUAGGGGAGUAUUACUUUCUUCAUCUUAAUUUCCCUUUUUACACAUUGAGGACAAUGUGCAUGUUAAGUGUGGGGGGAAGAAUUGAGAUUAUAUACAUUGUAUGUGAUUGAAUUAUUAGUUGCAAAUAUUGGACUUGUGUUAAAAUUCAAAAUUUUUCUAACAUCUUGUCCAAAAUUGCAAAUUUGCCCCAAAAAUUUUAAAAAUUUAAAUUUCAUCCAAAGGGGUAACAAAGUUCCAUACCAUUAGUAGUUCAAAUUCCUUCUACAUUUGAGAUAAAUAUAUGUGGUUUAAGCACUUCUUUUCUCAUUUAACUUGGAAAUGACUAUUAUGUGAUUAUAAUUUUUGCAUUUGUAAGAAAGUAUAUCUUUUAAAGUGGAGAAAAUUAUGCCUAUAUUUUUUUUUGCAUAUUUGAUGAAAUUUCUUCGCUUUAUUUGAUUUUAUAAGUUAAGUGAUAAAUAUGGUCAAUAAGUGCAAUACUCUUCUCAUGAUUAUUCUUUUGAGGAAUUUAUUAUUAUCUUUGCUGUAAAAAGAAAAAAAGAAAAAAAAGUGAAAAAAAAGAAGAAAAAAAAAUUUAUUUAUUCUACUCCAAUGAUUCUUGUACUUAGUAACCGGGAGUCUUCAUCUACAAAUGUCGACUUUCGCGUAAAACGGUACUUGAAUUAAGAGUAUGCAAAGCAACUUGAGUAUGUGAAGUGUUGAGUAACCGGUGAUCUUCAUCUAAAAAUGUUGAUCCUCGCGUAAAAAUAUACUUUCACAACUUAAGUAAUAUUAGCUAUAUUAUAUAAAUAAAUCCCUUUUUAAAUUAAAUAAGAAGAUGAUCAUGGGUUUAGAAAGCAUAUUAUUGACCAUAUAAGUUACUUACUUGUAAGAUUGGGUAAGGAUGAAAAAUGGAUUUGAACCUGUUAUAAUUACGGUAUAAUUGGCUCUCCUUUACUUGAUAUUAUGAGUACUUGAAUUUAAUUGAAUAAUUGCAUAAUGGUUAUUUACUUUGUUUUGAGGAAAUGAAGUUGAAAUGCUACAUAUGUUUAUUUUCAACUUUUGGAUCAUGGUUGGUUUGUAUUUCUUAUUGCUUGAGGACAAGCAAUGAUUCAAGUGUGGGGGUAUUUGAUAAGAGUUUAUUUUACGUAUUUUUAGUGUGUUUUAUUAGUUAAUUUUGGUUUGAUUAUUUAGUUUUAUAACUAAAAUAACUAAGGUUUUGGUAAAAAAACUACAUUUUAUGUUAAAAUGGUUAAACAUUGCAUUUUAUGGAUUUUUAUGGUAAAAAAACUUCAUAUUUUGUAGGUUUAAUGAUUCAAUCAUCAAAUGAAGUGCAUUGGGAAGAUAUUUGGAUGAUUGAAGAUGGAUUAAAGUGGUGAAAAAAAAAUAUGAAGUGUAAAAGGAAAAAUGCAAGAAAAGUCAGGUUUAACAACUCUGACACGUUUUGGUAUUUUGACUAUAUCUGGAGCUACACAGAUCGGAUCAAGGUGAUCUUGGUACCAUUUUGAAGCUAAGAGAUAUAUCUACAUUUGGUAUGAAGACAUCAAAGUCCAAUUCAGCCGUUUUCAUAGUCCAAAAGUUGAAAUACCGAAAUUCAACUCAGCUGUCCAAAGUGAAAAACAGAGCUCCGACCAGUCUAUAGUAUUUCGGUCAUAUCUCAGGCUACAAAGCUCCAAUUUGGAUGAUUCUUGAAGCAUUGAAAAGCUAACUUAAAGGGCUACAACUUUGGUGUUUUACACAAAAGCUAGUUCGGCCUUUAUGAUAGACAAAAUCGCAGAUUAAGUAAGGUCAAAGUGAAUACGCGAGUACACAAAACGUGACUUGUAACCGCGUUUUGUGUAGGCGCGUUUUCUGGCCGAAAUUCUGCAAUUUGACUCAGCCAUUUCCCUUGUGUUCAUACCACUUUCCAGCUAUAAGAUGCAAGGGAAUUCGGUGCACAUGCUUCAGAAGACAAAAUGGCAGACAAUAUGGCUUAUUUUCAAGUCAAAAACAAUGGUUUUUGACUAUCUUAACAAAAUGAGAUUUGAAGAAUCAUAGCAGCAAAUUUGGACUGGGAGAAGAGGAACUUUUCAUGAGUUUAUAUGCAGAGACAGAGAGCCAUUCAUUCAUUAUCAUACGGGGAGAGAACUUGAAGUGCAGAAAUGUAGUUCUUUCAUUUCCUUAGUGUAGGAUAGUGUAGUAAGUGUAGUUAAUCCAUUCUUGUAUAAUAGCUAGAUUAGGAUGAAGAUGGAGAUAAAGAAGAAGGAGUUGAAGCUCAAGUGACAUGGGUUAUCUCUACUCCAAUUCUUUAUCUUUUGUAUUGGAUUCUUAACUAUGGUUAUAAUGCAAGUUCUGGAAUUUAUGUUUAUUAUUUGUUUCUAAAGUUUAUGCCUUGGGUUUGGUUGAACUUCCUAUGAUUGUUAGUGUUUAUCAUUUGGCUAUUUAACUGCUAUGAUUUGAGCAAGUUAUUUAGCACUUUAGCUCUUUAAAUCAUGAUUAAUCUGGUACCAUUAAUUAUGAUUAUCUAAGGUGUUAUUUCUACAAUGAAAAUUGAGAUUUAACAUUAGUUCAAGAAGUGCUAAACAUAGGGAAUACACUCACGAGAGUAGAGGUGCACCUAUGGGGUUUUGGUGAUUUAUUUCAUGUAAUUUCAUUGAAGAAAUGAACUUGUAACUAAUUUCAUAACCAUGAGAAUAGGUAUGGAUUGGUUAUUAGUAUAAUUGAUUCACUACGAAAGUAGGAUUCAAAUGCAUAAGGAAAUUACACCAUAACUAGCCUAGAUGUAGUACUCAAUGAUCCAAAUAUAACACUUGCAUGAGUAGUUAGGGAUACCACAACCUAAGGAGCUUUUAUUUGUUAUUUUGUAUAAUUUCAGUAGGUUAAAUUUCUUAUAAUUCAUUGAUAGUCUAAAUAAUAGAGAAGCUUUAGUAAUACCGGUAAUUGUUCACUCUUCCCUAUGGGAUCGACCCGAUAUAUACCCUAAACUACUAGUUGAUCUGUAUACUUGCAGUGAACGGGUGUAAUUCGGUUUUUUAACUUGUACGUAUGUAAAAUACCCGUCAGUUGUGUAAAAAGAACACAAGUUACAGAGCAAGUUACAGCCUGAAUAUACUAAAAUGCAGGUAUAAAAUGCGGCCUAUGCCCUAGUUUUGAGCCCUCGUUUUGCUUUUUUUACAGGUUUGCCAAUUCUGGCCAGAUUUCAUUCUUGCUCUAUUUUUAGUCCAAUUUCUACUGAUAUUUAUUUGAUGAUGGAGACCGAACUAACUCUUGUACAAAACAUGAAAAUUGUAUCCCUUUGAGUUAGUUUUCCAAUGCCUUAAGAAUCAUUCAAUUUGGAGCUUUGUGGACCGCGAAAUGAUCAAAAUACCAUGACUGGUCAAUCUCUUGUUCCGCUUUUGACCAUGCAGAUGAGCUUCUGUAUGUCGACUUUUUGACAAUGAAGACAACUAAACUGGACUUCUAUUCUUCAUACCAAAUGUAGAUCUAUCUCUUAGGUCCAAAAUGGUUCAAAAAUCAUCUCAAUUUGAUCAUUGUAGCUCAAGAUAUUGCCAAAAUACUACAAUAUGUCAAAGCUGUGAAACUUGCUUCCUUUUAUUCUUGAUUGCAUUUCCUUUUUUGAAUUUUCUAUUCUCUUUUCAUCACUUUAAACUAUCAUCAAUCACCCAAUUAUCUUCUAAAACCAUGCUAUUUGAUGAUUGAAUCAUUAAACCUACAAAACAUGAAGUUUUCACCAUAAAAAUCCAUAGAAAUGUAAUUUUUACCACUUUAACCAUAAAAUGCAUUUUUCACUAGAAUUCUACUUAAUUAGCCAUAAAAGUAACUAAAACACACCAAAACUAACUAAUGAAACACACUUAAAACACGUAAAAUAUACACUUAUCACACGACCUUAAAAAUGCGACCUUAGGUCUUGUAUUCCACCCCACAUUUUCUCCUUUACAAGUUUGCACUUUUUGGGUAGAAUUUAUCCUUGCUCUGUUUUUUAUCCAACUGCAAUCAUAUUUUUCUUAAUGAUAAGGUUCACCUAGCUCUUGUACAAAACACAUCAAGAAUCAUCCAAUUUGGAGCUCUGUGGAUAGCAAAAUGACCAAAAUACCCUCAACUAGUCAGAACUCUAUUUCAACUUUCGACCAUAAAAAUGCACUUCUAUAUUUUGCCUUUUUGACAAUGAAAAUGACUGAACUGGACUUUGAUGUCCCAUAUCAAAUGUAGAUCCAUCUCUUAACUUCAAAAUGGUAUGAGAAUCACCUCAAUCCGAUGCUUAUAGCUCAAGAUAUAGUCGAAAUACGAAAAUAUAUCAAAACUGUGAAAAUUCCUUUCUUUUGUUCUUGUUUGCAUUCCAUCUUUGCACUUCAUGUCUUCUUUAAGCUAUUUCAAAUCAUCAAUAAUUAUUCAAAUAUGUUCUCAAUUCAUGCCAUUUGAUGAUUGAAUCCUUAAACCUACAAAACAUGAAGUUUUCACCAUUAAAAUCCAUAGAAAUGUAAUUUUUCACACUUAAACCACAAAAUACAUAUUUUCACUAGAAACUUAGUUAAUUAACUAUAAAAAUAGUUAAAACACAUUAAAACUAACUAAUAAAAUAUGCAAAAACAUGUAAAAUAUGCACUUAUCAGUAAGACAUUAUUGGCCAUGUACAGUCAAUUUGCAACUUAAAAAGUUUGUGGGUAAAGUCAGUUUGCAACUGAAGAAGUUGAUUAGAAGUUGAGUUUUGCUGAUAAGUACAUUGAUUCUAUUCAUUUGUUUAUUCUUUCCGAAAUUAUUAUAGUAUCCAUGACAGUGAGAUUUAUUUCACAUUCCAGUGGGAAGCGCAAAUAAUAAUUCUUAAGAAAUUCCAAGCCUAUUAUAAGCAAUUUUUUUGGUGCCAUGCUUGUGCAAGAAAUAGCCACUUUUUUUUUUUGCAAUUUUUUAGGUUAUUCUCUAAACACGGUUUUAAAUAAUUUUUAUUUUUUGUUAUUACGUUGUCGUCCAGAUAUCACAUCCACAACAUUGAAACAUAAAUAAGUUUAAGAACUUCAAUAAUUGGACUAAGUUUCUUGCUGCACUUUGCUUAUUGAUUGAACUCUAGGACCUACUUGCUACUGGAACCGAGACCUCAGCGACUACAAUAGAUGGGCCAUUUCAGAGCUACUGAAAAACCCAGAAAUAUUCUACAGGGCAGCUGAAGAACUCGAUCGUGUUAUUGGUCAGAAUCGAUGGGUGAAAGAGAAGGACAUGCCAAAUCUUCCUUACAUAUAUAGAGGCUAUUGUUAAAGAAGCAAUGCGUAUGCACCCCGUCGCAUUGCUAGCGCCAAGAUGUGCUCGCAAAGAUUGCAAAGUUGCAGGGUACGAUAUCGAAAAGGGAACUCGAGUCCUCCCCGAAUUGUGGGAGACGACAGAGGAAUUUUGCCCCGACAGAUUCACGGGAAAGGACAUUGAAUUCAAAGGGCAAGACUGUAAGUUCCGAGCAUUUGGUGCUGGAAGAAGAAUGUGCCCAGGGUACAAUUUAGGCCUCAAGGUUAUCCAAUCUAGUUUGGCCAAUCUUUUACAUGGAUACAGAUGGAAGUUGCCAAAUGACAUGAUGCCUGAGGACCUGGACAUGGAAGAAAUAUUUGGGCUCACUACACCAAGAAAGAUCCCACUUGUUGCCAUUGUUGAGCCUCGGCUUCCUCGUAAUCUUUAUUCACUGUGAUUCUCUACAUGUAUGUUUGAUCUCCCAGUAUCAUCAUUAUCAACUUGUGUUCAAAUAAAUCAGCUCUGCAAGUUUAGAAUUUGUAGCUGCGCUUAUAUGUGUUUGCCAAUUGCCACAACGCUGCAAACCCUUGUAGUUGGUGCAUGGCAUAUGCGUAAUCACUGAGAUUGUUAUGCCUAUUUAAAUCCAAAUUUGUGCACAAUUUUGUGAAACUGUGAAUAUGUACACCCCUGAUGUUCCAAAUACAAUCUAUAACAUUCUGACGCUAAUUUAAAUCUGUAAUGGCAGGUUUACAGUCAAAGCAAUGUGCUCUCUGCCAUCUUUCCUCUUAGCAUGGCCAGUGCCAGAAGUUGUUCCUACUUCCUAUGCACCUCUAAAUCAUCCCACUAGAUUGGUGCUGCUUUCCAUACUUGUUGGGAGGGAGAGAGAGAGAGGAAAGAAAAGAGGGGAGGGUGGGGUGGCUGUGGCAGUGGUGGCAAUGGGAAGGGAGGGAGGAGGAAGAGCAGCAGUGGUGUGGUGUGGGGAGGAAGAGGAAGAAGGGCGGAAAGAAAGGGAAAAAAAAAAAGGAAAGAAAAAAUAAGCAAGAUCAAAUGUCAAAAUGUCACAAAUUUAUAAUAUUACCGUUGUGCUCUUUAUAACUAUUUAACUAAAAAACCAAAACAAAAAGAGAAUUUUUAAAAGACCAAAAAAUAUAGACGAAAAAAAAAAACCAAAUUGCUAUCCAAUAUUGGUCCAUAUUUCUUUGUAUCAAGGUGGUGGUGGGAUAGUAAAAGAUAUGAGUAAAUUAAAAUCUAGUUAAAAUCAAAAAGUUAGAAGGAUUUCUUUGAAGUUAUAUUUGGCGGAUUUUUUUUUGGAAGUAACAAUAUUAUGAGGAUUUGCCUUGGGGUAAUAGCAGCUUGACUUCAAUAUUGAAGAUUGUCCGGCACAUAAAAUCCCAAGUCGUAGUCUCCAAGAUAUAUGUAUGAAGUGACGACGAGGUUCUUGAUAAAUCCAUUUAUGACAGCACCAUGUGCAACUCAUGAUAAAUUCAUAGGCUUUGAAUCUCCAUUCGGCCAUAAUUAAAUGUAAUUUUAUUUAAAAAAUACAGAUGGAUACAUAGUACGUCCAUUUGAUUAAAUAGUGAUUCAAUUUCUUACGGAUUACUUUAGGAUCUCUUCGAGCUUUUUCCCAUUAUGUAGUAGGCUAUCUUAUCGACAAAAAAAAAAAAAAAUCUCCAUUCGGCCAAAAAUCAUACUCCCUCCGUCCCAGAAAGUGUGUCGUAUUUCGGGGGAAUUGUAAUUAUUAUCAACAGUGCAAGACUUUUAAAUGAUUUGUAUUUAAGUUCCGGCAAUGUCCCUUGACUUUCAAUGUAUUCAUAACGUGGGUGAAUGAUAAAAGGGGCACAGGUUGUGAUAAGACAUACGGGACCCAAAAGAUUUAAAUGCCUCCACACUACUUUGAAAGAAAGUGUCAUGCACGAUUGCUAUUACCAUUUCACGUGAGAGUCACGAACUAUUGAGUGUAGUGUUGGUACUUGGUAAGUGAACAGAAAUGUGUCACAUUGGGCCCACUAAAAGGUAAGAAAAGGCUGUCACAUUGAAGGGUAUGGAGCGGAAAUGUGUGAAAACUUUCAUUGCCAAUUUUAGUAAGUGACAAUUAUUUUGAGACGGAUAAAAAAGAAAAGUAUGACAUUAUUAAUGGGACGGAGGGAGUAAACCCAUGGGCCAAAAAAUAGAUAAACAAGUUGAGUACUACGCUUUGUCAUGUACCGUGAUAUUAUUAUUAUUGCGAAAGAAAGUAUUCUCUAUUAUGACAGGACCAUGUGCAACUCCUGUCAGACUCAGGAGCUUUCACCUUUCCGACCGGACUCGCUGUGUCGGGCGAAGGAGAUCAGAUGUCAAAUUUCAGUUGAUUUGCGGCUGGAAGGCUAAGGAAGCUGUAGGUCCUGAAGCAAAAUUAGAUGGUUGCCAUACAACAACAAAUCUUUUUAAAGGUUUUUUUUAACUAAAUAAAAUAUUCCCUCUCAAAUUAGUUUUCUUUUUCCAAAUUUCAGUUAUGUGAGUAAAUGAAAGCUUUUACAACCAUUAGUUCUUUUAAAAUAUUUUAAAGCGUAACUGCAUGUACACAUUCUAUUAUAUUCAUUUGUCUCUUCUUCAGUUUUUAUACUCCAUCUAGGAUGUCUAAUCAUAAUUCCGUAAAAAAUUAAAAACUAUAUAUAUUUUUCUUUAUAAUUAGUCAAUUAUAAAUUGGUAAAGUUCUAAUCAAUUUCAUCCAUUAUCUAACUUGCAAGAAAGGAAUAGAUAUCUCCUAAAUACAAAGUUCAAAAGGAAUUUCUAGUCUUUUAUAAUCACGUUCACAUGAUGUUUCGGUGGAUAUCCAUUUGUCCAUUUUCCGUUAAAGAAACUUUACUUAUUACAAUCUUUUUCUUUACACUCCUCUAAAAUAGUAUGAAAUAUUACCAUAAUUCUUCACAUGUCACUAUUAAACCGAGGGUUAAGGAUUAUCGGAAAGUAAUCAUUAAAUAGUAUAUGAGUUUAUGUUUAGUGUCUUACAUUCAUUAAAUUUAUUGUUUUUUGGAAAAUUAAAGUUCGAAGAUAAAAAGAAGUUAAUGCAAAUGCACGGCUGAAUAACUGGUGGUCUAAUUCUAUUGCUUGCUUACCCACAAGAAUGACCACGCCAACACUACAUUAAUACACUCAUACUUUUGCAUUUCUUAAUUACUUGCAUUUCUUAUUCUUUCUUCCCAACAAUUCUACAGCCCAUAAUCAAUUUUAAUUCAGUAAUCUUCAUACAACUCUGAACAUAUAACUAUAUUUAAUAUAAAUUCUUGACAUACCUGCAUUUCAAUUCUCAAAAUCUUAUGGCAUGCCUUACUUUAUAAUGGUGUUUAAUUACUUAAGUUCUUAAACGAUCAAUCAUAUCAAAAUCAUAAACUUGUACCGUACAAUAGGAUGCUCUUCACAUCAUGAUCAGGAGUUUAGCAAUUAAUCUCCAUCAUGUCACAAUUAAAUUCAAUUUCAUAGCUAGGGGUGAAAUUGCAAAGCAUUUGGUUAAUCGGAUGUUUGAAGAAAUUUAAUUAAUUAAAUUUAAUAUGAAUUUAGUUCAGUCAAAUAGAUUUCGAUAUGGUCUUGGUAAAAACAAAAUUAUGAGAGUGCUUAAUUAGUUUGAAAGUAACUCUAAGUUCUCGAUUUUUUAUUUUAACUGGUAUAACACACACACACGUACAAUAUGUUACACAUGUUCACUUCACGUUAUUGUGGAUAUUUAAUAUUCUUAAUUACUACUUUCUUUUAUUCUUUUUUCCAUCAUCUCUUCACUUUCCUUCUUUCUUUUUCUUGAUCACUUGCAUUUUGUGAAAUUAUUUUUCAUGUUUCCAAUUGUUUGCUUUAAUUGGUUUUUCAUAUUUGUAAUUAUUUUUCAUUAAUAUCAAUUUCAUCCUAUUUAUGACUAACAUCUGACAGUGAUUUAUGCCUUUCCAAUUUGACAAUUAUUUGGUUAAAAAAACUUUAAAAAGAUUUGUUUUAUUGCAUUGCAAUUUUUGGGGACCAAUUAAUUUUGCUUCAGGUCCACAACUUCCUUGCUAAGCGUGUUGUGAGGGUUACACAGCGGCCUUGUUUAAAUUGUGCUUUUUUGCAAAAAAGAAUUUUACAUUUUUCGUAAAUAUAUUUUUUUCAAUUAUCUUUCUUAUCUCAUCUCAGAUGCAUCAAAUAGUUACAUUAUAUUUUUUUAUAAAGCUCCUAAAAAUAGCAAUGCAAAUGGAGCCCUUCCAGCCGCAAAUCAAUUGAGUUUUGAUGUCAUUUUCUGUGUGAAUUCCUUCUUUUGACAUGUAUCCACUUCGUAUGGUUGGAUCUUCCCGCUAUAGACCGAUCCGGUAGCAUAGUUUUUUUGCUCAAUCACUUAAGCUAUCAUGUUAGAGAUCAAUAAUCAGAGGCUUACAAACUUUCGUAAAAAUUUUCAUUUGAACAGCUAAAUAACCAAAGUCUGACGGCUAAACAAAACAAAAAGCUCAUUAUAAUUGCUGCUAUUUGUACAACUUUUCUGUGAUUAAAUAAAAUUCCCUUCCUCGUUAAAAUAAAUGAAAGAAAAUAUGAAGGAGAAAUUAAAUUGAUCUAAUUGUUUAACAAUUACUAGUAUUUCUUUUUGUGAUUUGAACUACUUCCUUUCCAUGUUUCGUACACUUAAAUCAGUGGCUUACACGUUUUCGUAUUGCACUAAUUUUCUUUUGUAAACCAAUAAUCAAAACUUAAAACUUAUUGCACUAGUAGUUAUUGAGUGACUUCCACGCCUUUGCUCAUUAUAAAUACCGGCCCCCUCCACAUUCCAAACACACUCAACCAUCUUCCUCCUUGUGCUACAAUCUGCCACCUCCAUCACCCCCACUGCUCCCACAAAAUGGAAAGCUUUUCUCCCAACUGGGCUGCGUGUGCACUCGCGUGGGUUGCAACGGUGGUUAUUAUCACCCAACUCUCGAAGCAUUUCCAUCAGAAAAAACUCAACCUCCCACCAGGUCCAAGGCAAUGGCCAAUAAUUGGAAACUUAAACCUCAUUGGCACCCUUCCUCAUCGCUCACUCCAUCA
Molecule: long non-coding RNA, 44868 nt
Filed under: Coffea arabica (coffee)
Lineage: Eukaryota; Viridiplantae; Streptophyta; Magnoliopsida; Gentianales; Rubiaceae
Description: long non-coding RNA (CARA_LNC004972)
Source: RNAcentral